AAAGAAAAAAGUAGUGUUCAUGAAAAGAAUCAAGUUUUUUUCCCUCAUAUUUCUUCCCCAUGCCUCCUCUGAUUCUGCCAUUUGUUUCCACCCGUAGAGACGGAUAAAAUACAUGGAAAGAAGAGACUUGCAGGUAAGGUAUUGGAUUUGCUACCGUUUAAUCCAACUAGUUUGAGUCGAGGAUGAUGACGUGAUAAGUUGUUGAUCGUUCACUGACCUGACGCAACAGGAGGCGCACAGGAAACUUCCACUCGUAGGUGAGUUAGACCAACCAUUGUUGUCAGAAACCAGUGUUGCACGGGUUUGUGGAAGAUGAAAGGGCACGAACCUUAUCCAACGAGGAUAAAAGGAAAGUGGAUGUACCAAGCUCCUCCGACUCGUUCGUCUAUCACGGUUGGUGUGCAUCAGGAUAUCUGUGGGUGCAGGUGCAGAAUAAGUCCCUCGGCGGGGACAGGGAACACGAUUUACCACUAAGUAGGGUACAGAGUUGGACCGAACCGGAAACCUGCCUGGCUCAAUCUGAUUAUAAGACCGGGUCGCGUCGGUUUGGGUUGGCCUAGCUAUAUGUUGAGUUCGGGUUGAAAUUCCAUCCCACCGUCCAAUUUCCCUUUCCCGAGCGAAACAUGAAAGCACCUAUUUUAUUUAACACAUACCUUAACAAAUUGAUUGUGUGGAAUUUGCUAUGUUGACUAACUAUCGAAUGAUAUAAUAAUUAGCUCGACACUAACUCGGGUGUCUCAGCCCAAGGCAACAACCAAACAUCCCAUCAAAUUAAUAUAGUGCACAACAAUGUUAAAUGUAAUGUUUAAUGAUUCUAUCGAUUCUUUACGUCAGGUAACACUUAAUGAUUCCACAUAAUUAUCAUCCUAAUUAAAUAUCUACUUAAAUCAAUAUUCAAGUCUUAGUACAGAUUUUGUUUGUCCGUGAUUGUGAUUCAAAUAUAAUGGAAGCCCGUUCAAAGUCUUACUCCAUAUCACUAUUUGUAGAUGUAUUGAACCUAAAAAAUUAAAUAGGGGUACUCUCGACAAAUAUCCCGUAGAUGAUCAAGUUAAUUGUAUAGUUUACAUUAAUCAAACUAGCCGAUCAAUGCUGACUAUGAGUUAUGUUAGAGUGCAUACUUGGAGGUCUUUGACCCGAAGACGAUUAUGCUCAGGAUUGUUGGUGAUAAGAGAGGGAUGUGCAGUAUACCUUGGGCAGAUACCAGGUAUCGAGUGAUGUUUGUCAUACCUUAAGCCCAUGUUAGCUAUUUAUGCCAUUCACAGGAUACGAAUAAUUGAUCGCUCAAUCUCGUAUCACCCACAACGACCACGUGUCUUUCAGAUCUAAUUGUCAUGUGUGGACCUCGUAGGGUUGACGUAAUCUUUUGAUGAUUGGUUCGUUAGCCAUGCGUCACUAUGUGGCGACCAUGUGUCCAUUAUGUCAUUCUUUACUUUUCACCGAGAGACACUAUAAAAUUCAUUAGGUAUAUCGUUUGACUAAAUCUCUCAUGUAUGUACUAGAUAAAAUCUUUAGGAUCUUUUGAGCCCCCUUUCUAACUUAAAUAUUACACGAAUUUUUAAGUUUUACCUAUUGUGUUUUUUUUAUGAAGUCUAACCAAGUUUGGACAUCUCCGAACACCAUGUUGUUGGAUAUUAUACUUUUGGUUGCCUUCAAUUCCCAACACAUCAAAUCAAACAAUCAAAAACUCUUGUAACACAGUCAAAAUUGCAUGUCGUUCGAGUACUCUUAACAAAUAAAACAUUAUGAUGUGUAUGAUAUGAUAUAACCAGAUUGACCAAAGUUACGAUUGUAAAAGUGACAUUCUCUUGCUUACACGAGCAAAAUGCAAUGUCAUACUUCAUCAAUGGAAAAUUAAUCUCUCCAUAUCAAUUGCUCGAAGAUGACACUGCAUUCACUUAAAUUAAUCAGCACUUAGAAUCCAUAUGACAUACUACAUUAAUGGAGGCGGCCUUUGCCUCGUUCUCUACUGCGUGCGUUGAUUUAGUUACUUGAUAAAUCUAACUGAAUCUAAUCUUUAUCUAUUCGAGUAUCAUAGUGGUGAUUAUGAUGAUCAGCCUCGAUCAAUAGCAUAGAAUCAAACGUUGGGUCGGAGUAAAACAUAUCAGGAGAUUGGAUAUCGGGCCAGAGGAUCCGUCGAUGACAUCGGGCCAGAGGAUCCGUCGAUAUGCCGGUAGAAGAACUUCGUGCUGUGUGUUCGGCCAUCGGGCCGAAGCAUUGGAUAUUGCACUAAGGAGAUUAGAAGUUGCGGGAGUCAACAUACCAAUUGGACAAUAUAUCGAAGGAGAGGACGAUGCACCGAAGGAUUGGACAAAGCGCCGGAAGAACCAAUGACAUGCCGGACAAUAUAUGAUUCGUACUUUGUAAUAAUUUAUCUAGAUCGAGUUAGUUUAGGUCUAAUUUAGUCGGUAUUGGGGUGAAACAAUGUCAACUCAAUUAGGGGCUAAUUGGGCCUGAAUUGUGACUGAAUUGUACCUAUUGUUUGGCCCAUUGAGUGUCUUGUAGUAGGGUCAAGUGAUGGUACCGCCAUACUGAGCGGUAGUACCGUCAGACUUGGCUGUGAUACCGCUUAGACAUAGGCUCCCAGAUUGUGUCAAGCUAUGGUAUCGCCAAACUAGGCGAUGGUACCGCUCAAACACAAUCUCCCAAACUGUGUCAAGCGGUGGUACCGCCAAACUAGGCAAUGGUAUUUCCCACUAUCAAUGCUGCAAGUGAUAGUACCACCUAGCAUAAGUGGUGGUACCACCCAGCACAAGCGGUGGUACCGCCAGACCUAGGAUGAGACUUUUUUUGGCUCUAUUUUUGAAGUCAUUUAGGGUCUAUAAAUACCCCAGCUAUUCCUGCAUGGAGAUGUAAGAAUUGAGCAAAAAGAGGAAAUAAUUCUAAGAUGAAAAAAUGUUGUAAUCUCUCUAAGUUUAGUAAGUCUCUUCCUCCUAGAGUUAGAAGGCUUCUAAGGGAGGAGUGAGGUCUACAGGUGUAAAGGUUCUCACUUGAGCUUAUGAAAAGAUAAAAAAGUUAUAAGGGUAGUUGAUCUUCGCCCAUUGAAAGAAGAUCGGUAGUGAAAGCUGGUGGCCUCGAGUGAAGAGGAAUCGGGAGUGGAUGUAGGACACGACGACCGAGCCACUAUAAACUCGGUGUGCAAUUUCUAUUCUACUUUUCAUUAUCUUUGCUAUUAUUUUGUGAGUUAAUAGCUUUGUUCACUUACUAAGUCAAGCACACUUUUCCGAUAUCGAUUUCAUCGAACAUAAUUUUUCAAAAUCGAUAUUUUUAUAGUAAGCACUAAUUCACCCCCCCUCUUAGUGUCAACUUGAUCCUAACACCUCAUUCAUCUAGUAUCUCAUAGAUCGUAUAUUGGGCAUGGUGUUGUCAGACCCAUACGGUUUAUACUUAAGUCUCGCUUUAAUCGGAUUCUCCCGAAGAACUCUUUCUCUCUCAAUCCGAAUGACCCUAGCUAGGGAUUUGUCUGAGCAAGAAUACAUGAGAUAUUCCUCUCAUGACACCAAGAGUAUAUAAUCCUCUAUCGACACUCAAUAUUUCUUAUAAGGUUGGCUGCCACUCUCGAUGACCGGCUCAGAUCUGAAACUUCCAGACCUAUAAGUUCGAUAUCAAAGAGUGGAGUACUCAUAUAGGACAUCCAUGGUGUCUCAAGUUUAAGGACCAAAUAUACCACUAGGACGACGGAAUCACUAUCCGACAAUAAGGCAUCAUCAACCAUCUAGUAUUCCAUGAGCGGAUCAAUUAGUGAACUCAUUCUCCAAUUAGCAAAUUCACUAUAGUCCUAAUGACCCCACAUGAGUAGCUAUGAGACCAGUUGUCUCCAUCAUAUGGAUGAGUAUACAACAUACUAUUCUGUCCGGUUAUCUCGAUAUCCCUCUUGAGUAACCUAUGACCAGUAUUAUUUAGGGUCUAUGUUUAAAGGUGAAUCGGUCUCAUUAUCAUAAUCUCAUCACAAUCCGAUUCCCAUUAUAGAAAUACAUGGACAUCACAAUAUAUAUAUAUAUGCAUAUAUGCAACAAGCAAUAUAAGUGAUAAAAUGCUAAAUAAUAUAGUAAGCAAAAAGAGUGCGUGUCAUAUCAUACGUGUCAUCACUCACGUGAUUAGCUUGCAGGGCACCUAUGACUAGCAAUCUCCCACUUAACCUAAAGCCAAUCACCUAUAUGUAUAAUCCUCACGAGACCCCUGUGAUGCUCAAAGAUAAUCUAAGAUGACUUUUUAGUGAAUCUGUGAUGUUGUCUUUAUUAGGAUCAAGAGCACUAAGAGGAGGGGGGGGGGGNNNNNNNNNNNNNNNNNNNNGGUGAAUUAGUGCAGCGGAAAACUUUCAACGAUUAAAACUACGUUCGUACGAUAAGAGCGAUUUCGGUAGAAAAGUCAAUUCGUAAAUUACUUUAACUUGUGAUCAAGCAAGAUGCAGUUAAAGCAAGUCUGUGAAGGCAGUUUGCAGUUAUGACGGAAAUUAGAAUGUAAGUGCAAACUGAAAUAUGAUGUUCGUACGAUAAAACUGAUUUACGUCUAAACGCCGAUUCGGAAAAUACUGAACUUUGAAACACGAUCGUAAAUGCAUAGAAGGCAGUAAGCUAUUGAGGAGGUUUGCAGUAAAGAUAAUAUGCUCAAAGUAAAUGCAAACCGAGAUUUAGAGUGGUUCGGUCAAUCUUGACCUACAUCCACUUUUGGCUUCCUCCACCGACGAGGUCACCGACGUCCACUAGAGGCCUUCCUUCAAUAGGUGAAGGCCAACCACCUUUUUACAGUUUCACUCCUUUUGACGGGCUUAGGAGACAACCCUUAUAGAAUUUUCUUUCCUCUCUUGACAGAUCAAAACUUGGAAGAAAAGAGGAAGGAGAAUAGAGAAACUACAAAGAGUACUUUUCAGAGAGGGCAAAACAGAAGCUUGAAGAAGCUUCAAGUAUAUUCAUGAUCAGUCUAGUUGUUAGAUUUUUGUGAUAGUGCAUGGGUAUUGGAUACCGAUAGUGCUUAUCAUAUCUGUAAUUUAUUAUAGAUUCUAGUAAAGCCUAAGAGAUUAGCGUGAGGAAUACUGCAUAAUGAUUUAUUUAUGCUAGACACUACUCCACAUAUCAUGAAUGUAAUUAUAGCCGAGAGGAAACGAGAUGAGGUGAACAGUGCAUAAUUGUGGCAUUAUAGGCUAAGUGACAUCCAUGAGAGAAGGAUCCAAAAGUUGCUAAAGGAUAGAUAUCUAGAUUCAUUUGACUAUGAGUCAUAUGCAACUUGUGAAUCUUGCCUUCGUGAAAAACUAACUAACUCUCCUUUUAGUAGAACUGGAGAGAGAAUCAUUGAGCUAUUGGAACUCAUACAUAGUAAUAUAUAUGGACCCAUAUCAACUCAUGCCAUUGGUGGUUACUCCUAAUUCAUUACAUUUAUUGAUAAUUUCUCAAGGUAUGGACAUGUUUACUUAAUAAAGUAUAAGUCCGAAACCUUUAAGAAAUUCAGAGAGUAUAAGAAUGAAGUAGAGAACCAGACUGGAAAGAAUAUCAAGACUCUUCAAUCAGAUCGAUGAGGUGAGUACUUGAGUACAGAAUUCACCCAGUUCCUCAGAGACUAUUUGAUUCUAUCCCAAUGGACACUUUCUUAUACACCUUAGCUCAAUGGUGUAUCUGAAAGGAGGAAUCAUACAUUGUUAGAUAUAGUACGGUUCAUGAUGAGAUUCGCUGACCUACCCAUCUGAUUCUGGGGAUACGCCAUAGAGACCGUAGCUUACCUUUUGAAUAGAGUUCCAAUUAAGUCGGUAGUGUCUAUACCAGAUGGGAUAUGGAAAGGAAAAAAACCCGAUCUUAAGAUUGUUAAGAUUUGGGGCUACCCUACCCAUAUUAAAAAACACAACCCCGAUAAGUUGGAAUCGAAGACGGAGCGGUGCAAGUUUGUGGGAUACCCCAAGGAAACUUGUGGGUAUUAUUUCUAUCAUCAGAGGACCAAAAGGUCUUUCUAGCUAAGAGAGCGAUGUUCCUUGAGAAGGAACACAUUCUUGGUGGAGACAGUAGCUCAUGCACCACUCCACAACCUGAGUUUAUUUAGGUAUCUAGCACACAAGUUUCGACUUUACAUAGAUCCGAUAGAGCAUCCCAUCCUCAUGAGAGAUAUGUGGGACAUAUUAGAGGAGAGGAUGUUGAGGAUAUUGAUCCUUAGACCUAUGAGGAGGCUAUUAUGAGUCUAGACUCCGGGAAGUGACAAGAAGCCAUGAAUUCUGAGAUAGAUUCAAUGUACUCCAAUAAGGUUUGAAACAUAGUUUAUGCAGUCAAGGGUAUUAUACCCAUCGAUUGCAAGUGGAUCUUCAAGAAGAAGAUCGAAAUAGAUAGAAAUGUAAAGACCUAUAAAGUAAGGCUAGUGGCUAAAGGGCAUCGCGAAAGACAAGAUGUUGAUUAUGAUGAAACCUUCUCACUCGUAGCCAUGCUAAAAUCUAUCUGAAUUCUAUUGGCUAUUGCAACACACUAUGAUUAUGAAAUCUAGUAAAAAUUGCAUUCCUCAAUAACAACCUUGAGGAUAUUUAUAUGAUAUAGCCUGAGGGAUUCAUGUCCAAGGACUACCUAGAUAAGGUGUGUAUAUUGCAUAUGUCCAUUUACAAACUAAAGCAAGCUUUCCAAAGUUAGAACAUAAGAUUUGAUGAGACAAUUAGAUCUUAUGACUUCGUUAAAAAUGAAGAUGAGCCUUGUGCAUACAGGAAGAUAAGUGAGAGCGCUAUCACCUUCUUGGUGUUAUAUGUGAAUGACAUCCUAAUCGUCAGGAAUGAUGUAGGAAUACUAUCCAUAGUAAAUGCUUGGUUAUCUAGACACUUCUCUAUGAAAGAUUUAGGGGAAGCAUCGUAUAUUUUGGGGAUUCAGAUCUAUAGAAAUAGAUCCAAGAGGAUGCUUGGCUUAUCCUAGUCCAGAUACAUAGACACCAUUGACAAAAGAUUUGGCAUAAAAAAAUCCAAGAGAGGUCUCCUAUCGACGAGACAUGAGAUAUCACUUUCUAGGAAUAUGUCCCUAAAUACUCCUGAAAAAAGUACGAACAUGGAUAGGAUAUCCUAUGCCUCAUUGAUUGGAUAUAUCAUGUAUAUCAUGCUAUGCUAUAUACCAAGUCUGAUAUAGUGCAUGCUUUAAGUGUCACGAGCAAGUAUCAAGCGAAUCCAGGCUUAGAGCAUUGGAAAAUAGUAAAGUGUAUCCUUAAGUACUUGAGAAGGACUAAGGAUCUUUUACUGGUAUAUGGAACCCAAGUUUAUAGAAAUGUAGCGAUUGGUCAAGCAAAGGAACCCAAGUUUCAUUAGAAGUGUUCCGAGGAGGUUCCAGCUUGUUAUAGAAAUUAUGACACGAGGAGAUGUAGUAGUGAAAAAAGUUCCAUCCGAAGAGUCUCAUAUUGUCUUUAAGCGUCACAGGGGUCUGAUGUGGAUCAGACACAUAGGUGAUUGACUUUAGGUCAAAUGAGAGAUUACUAGUUAUAGGUGCCCUACAAGCCAAUCACAUGAGUGAUGGCACGUGUGACUUAACACAUAGUCUUUUUGCUUAUUAUUAUUAUUUGACAUUUUAUUACUUUAUAUUGCUUGUUGCAUAUAUAUAUAUAUAUAUAUAUAUAUAUAUAUAUAUAUAUAUAUAUAUAUAUAUAUAUAUAUAGUGAUGUCCAUGUAUCUGUAUAAUGAGAAUCAGAUCGUGAUGAGAUAAUGAUAAUAAGACCAAUUCACAUUUAAACACAGAUCCUAAAUAAUCCCGGUCAUAAGUUACUCGAGAGGGAUAUCGAGAUAACUGGACAGACUGGUGUGCUAUAUACCCAUCCAUAAGAUGGAUGCAGUUGGUCUCAUAGUUGUUCAUGUGUGGACACUAGGGAUACAGUACAGGUGCUCAUUGGAGAAUGAGUUCACUAAUUGAUUCGCUUACGGAAUGCUGGAUGGUUGAUGAUGCCUUAUAGUUAGACAACAAUUCCGUAGUUCCAAUGGUGUAUAUGGUCCUUAGACUUGAGACACCAAGGAUGUUCUGUAUGAGUACUUCAUUCUUUGAUACUAGACUUAUAGGUCUGGAGGUUUCAGAUCUAGCACAGUCGGUCACCGGGAGUGGUAGCCAACCUUGUGAGGACUAUUGAGUGUCGAUAGAGGAUCAGCCACUCCCGGUGUCAUGAGAGGAAUAUUCCAUGUGUUCUUGCUAAGACAAAUCCCUAGCUAAAGUCAUACGGAUUGAGAGAGAAAGAGUUCCUUGGGAGAAUCUGAUUAGAGCGAGACUCGAGCAGAAAUCAUAUGGGUCUGACAGCACCAUACCUAGUAUACAAUAUUUAGGAUAUUAGAUGGACGAGAUAUGAUAUGUACAUAGUAACUGAGGAUAGAUAGGUCAAAUGGAUUGAAUUCCCUUGUAUCGUUUGGGGAUUGUGCCAUAGUGGCCUAGUACGCCCGCAGUUGAUAAGUCGAGUGUAUUAUUAUGGAGAUAAUAAUUCACUAAAGGAGUUCUGACAUGUAUGACUCAUGGCCAGCUCGAUAUUGGGCCUAGAGGGUCACACACAUAUGGUAAGCAUUGCGAUGAGUAGAGGUUUAGAUAUGAUGUUGGAAAAUUCUUGGGGGCGACAUCACAUGCGCAGCGGAAGAAUAGUAAAACAAAAUCCUUAAUUUCUCAAAAAAUAUUCAUCGUCAUGCGAAGAUUGAUGCGCAAAAUUCGUGAAACUUAAAACCGCGUAUAAGAUAAAUUGUGUUACAUAAGGAGAUCGUAUAUCUCUAAAUCCCUACAUAUCUCUAGGAGAGGGUGAAGGAGAUCAAGUGCCCUCAUCUCUAGCGGUGAUCCACACAGUAGGGCUGCAACAAUGAUCCUCAAAACUCCAAGCAUGCUCUGAGGUGGAGAGGGGGAGGAGAAUAGGAGAGGCAAGCAAAAGACUCUAGCCUAUGAACCAUUGAUUUCCUCCUAUGUAAAGAGGUCCCCUAUCAACUUAACCCUAAUGGAUCCUCUCAUAUUGGGUAUUGGAUCUCCAUCCAACUACUAAAGCCUAUUAGAUUAAUAGAUCUCUAUCCAACAGUAUCUCAUGGGUGCUUAUUGGAUCUCGUUCAUAGGAUCUAAUAAUUCAGUGAUUUAUUAGAUAUUCAAUAAGAUAGGGGCUCCGACGGAUAUCUCAAAUCCGAACCUCUACUCAUCGCAAUACCUACCAUAUGUGUGUGACUCUAUAGGCCCAAUAUCGAGUUAGGAUGUGAGUCAUACCUAUCAAAACUCCUUCUGACUUAGUGAAUUAUUAUCUUUAUAAUAAUUCACUCGACUCAUCGACUACAGACAUACUAUGCCACUACGCCGUAGUCCCCAGACGAUACAAGGGAAUCUAAUCUAUUGGAUAUGUCUGUCCUUAGUUAUUGUGUAUCUAUAAUCCCUCAUCCAUCUAAUAUCACAAAGACCGUAUAUCAAACACGGUGCUGUCAGACCUAUAUGAUUUUUAUUCAAGUCUUGCUCUAAUUGGAUUCUCCCGGAGAACUCUUUCUCUUGCAAUCCGAAUGACCCCAGUUAGAGAUUUGCCUGAGUAAGAAUACAUGGGACAUUCCUCUCAUGACACCGAGAGUGGAUGAUCCUCUAUCGACACUCAAUAGCCCUCGUAAGGUUGACUGUCACUCCCGAUGACUAGUUGUGAUAGAUCUGGGACAUCCAAACAUAUAAGUCUGGUAUUAAAGAGUGGAGCACUCAUAUAGGACAUCCUUGGUGUCUCAAGUCUAAGGACCAGAUAUACCAUUGGGACUACGGAAUCACUAUCUGACAAUAAGGCAUCAUCAACUAUUCAGCAUUUCAUAAGCGAAUCAAUUAAUGAACUCAUUCCCUAAUGAGCACCUAUAUUAUAUCCCUAGUGUUCCCACAUGAGUAGCUAUGAGACCAACUACAUCCAUCAUAUGGACGAGUAUACAACACACCAGUAUGUUCAGUCAUCUUGAUGUCCCUCUCGAGUAACCUAUGACCGAGAUUAUUUAGGAUCUGUGUUUAAAGGCGAAUCGAUCUCAUUAUUAUGAUCUGAUCAUGAUCUGAUUCCCAUUGCAUAGAUCUAAGGACAUUACAAUAUAUACAUACAUAUAUGUAAUAGUUAAUAUAAAGUGAUAAUACCAAAAUAUAAUAAGUAAAAAGACUACGUGUCAAGUCACACGUGCCAUCACUCACGUGAUUGGCUUAUAGGGCAUAUAUAACUAGCAUACGAGAUAUCCGCCGGAGCCCAUAUCUUAUUGGAUAUCCAAUAAGCCCUUGAAUUAUUGGAUCCUAUGGAUAAGAUUUAAUAAGAGCCAAUGAGAGAUUAUUAGAUAGAGAUCCACUAAUCUAAGAGGUUUAGGUAGUUGGAUAGAGAUCCAAUACCCAAUAGGGCAGGAUCCAUUAGGGUUAAGUUGACAGGAGACCUCUAAAAAUAGGAGGGAACCAAUGGUUCAUAAGCUAGAACUUUUUAUGUUGCCUCUCCUAUUCUCCUCCCCUUCUCAUCCUCAGAUAACAAGCUUAGAGUUUUGAGGAGCAUCAACGCAGUCAUACUGUGUGGAUCAUCGCUAGAGAGGAUGACGCUUGACCUCCUUCACCCUCUCCUAGAGAUCUACAAGGAUUCAGGGAUAUACGAUCUCCUUAAGUAACACAAUCUUUCAUAUAUGUAGUUUUAAGGUUCACGAUUUUUAUGCAUCAAUCUUCACACGAUGACGACCAUGUAUUUGAGAAAUUAAAGAUUUUAUUUUUAAUGUUCUUCCGUUGUGCAUGUGAUGUCACCCCUAGAUUUCUCUACAUGUUUCUCAUUCUAACAUUACCAAAAUCACCUGUAGUAUAAGAUAUGAAGAAAUCACUAUAAGAAGUAAUAUGAAAUGAAACACCAUAGUCAAUUACUCAGUUAUUAUCCCGAGGUUUAAUCGACACAUCCGUCAUCACAAACAAUAACGAUAUCACCUUCAACAACAACUAUAUUAGUCUCUUUCUCUUUUUUCUUCAUUUCAUUCUGUUAUCGCUUCCAAAACUUACACUCUUUCUUUAUGUGAUUUGGCUUGUUACAAUGGAAAUACUUGAUAUCUCUUCUAGACUUAGAUCUUCCUCUAUAACUAUGUGGAUUUCUACUAUGACUUCUUCCACGUCUUUCUUAUUUUUAAAUAACAAGUGCACUAGAAGAAGAUUCUUUCUGAUCUUUCCUUCUGACAUAUUGAUUUAGCAAAUUAUCUUUGACCAUGUCUAUAGUUAGAGUCCCCUUGAGUGUGGAGUUACAAAUUAUCACAAAAUACGUUUCCCAACUUCUCGAUAAAGAGUUGAAAAGUAACAAUCCUUGCAUCUCAUUAUCUAUAUACAUUUUCAUAGCAGCCAACUUGUUUAUAAGACUCUAAAAUAAGUUUAUGUGCUCAAUAAUGUUACCAUCAUAUUUAUACUUCUAAUUGAUAAACCUUCUGAGGAGAGAAAUUUUAUUUCUCAUUGUCUUUUUUGUAAAGAAAUUUUCUAACCUGUGCCAAACAAUAUCAACUCUGCUUUCAUCAGAAAUAUGCUCAUGCAAAUUUACAUCCAUCAAUCUUCUAAUAUAGACAAUAGCUUUUCUAUAUUAAACCUCUCAUUCCUUGUCUUCCAUAGUAGAAGAUUUUUCUUUAAUUUUAAUGAGCUUAUAUAAAUCUUUAAAAUAGAACAAAUCUUCCAUCAUAUGUCUCCAAGUGGAAUAAUUUGAUGAGUUUAAUUUAAUCAUAUCAUCUAAUUUUUCUAUUUUAAUCACACAAGAAAAACAAGCACCAAAUAACCUAAUACUAUAAUACCAUUUAUUAGGAAAAACUAUUAUAGUGAAAUAAUUCUUUUCCCUCUUUGUGUAUCAAAAUGAGAUUCCUUACUAAAAUAUUAACUUAUUACCAAAAACAAAUAUUAACCCGAGCAACAUAAAUAAACAACAGAAUAAUGAAUCAAUCAUAAAGUGAGAUAUCAAAUUUUUAUUUAGAAAACUCAAUGCAAAAAACAUUAUGGGACCGUAGUACAUUUCAAACUUCCACUAUCACCAAUAAUGAUAACAUGUUUAUAAUAAGUCUUCUCCAAAAUAAUUAGAGAAUUACAAUAACAUCAACAAUAUAUAUGUUAGCUUAACAAUAAUAUAUCAUCAUCACCAUAGAUAGAUUUUAUGAAAGGAAAAUUUUAGAUCUUACAAGGUGGGUAUAACAGAGAAGUAACAAUCCUUGCAUCUCAUUAUAUAUAUAUAUAUAUAUAUAUAUAUAUAUAUAUAUAUAUAUAUAUAUAUAUAUAUAUAUAUAUNNNNNNNNNNNNNNNNNNNNNNNNNNNNNNNNNNNNNNNNNNNNNNNNNNNNNNNNNNNNNNNNNNNNNNNNNNNNNNNNNNNNNNNNNNNNNNNNNNNNNNNNNNNNNNNNNNNNNNNNNNNNNNNNNNNNNNNNNNNNNNNNNNNNNNNNNNNNNNNNNNNNNNNNNNNNNNNNNNNNNNNNNUAUAUAUAUAUAUAUAUAUAUAUAUAUAUAUAUAUAUAUAUAUAUAUAUUCAUAACAACUAACUUGUUUAUAAGACUCUGAAAUAAGUUUAUGUGCUCAAUAAUGUUAUCAUCAUAUUUAUACUUCUAAUUGAUAAACCUUCUGAGGAGAGAAAUUUUAUUUCUCGUUAUAUCUUUUGUAAAAAAAUUUUCUAACCUUUGCCCAAUAAUAUCAACUCUGGUUUCAUCAGAGAUAUGCUCAUGUAAAUUUACAUCCAUUAAUCUUCUAAUAUGGACAAUAGUUUUUCUAUGUUAAACCUCUCAUUCCUUGUCUUAAUAGUAGAAGAUUUUUCUUUAACUUUAAUGAGCUUAUAUAAAUAUUUACCAUAGAGCAAAUCUUCCAUCAUACAUCUCCAAGUGGAAUAAUUUAAUAAGUUUAAUUUAAUCAUAUCAUCUGACUUUUCUUUUUCAAUCACACAAGAAAAACAAGCACCAAAUAACCUAAUACUAUAAUACCAUUUAUUAGGAAAAAUUAUUAUAAUGGAAUAAUUCUUUUCCUAUAUUAAAAUAAGAUUCCUCACUAAAAUAUCAACUUAUUAUCAAAAACAAAUAUUAACCAGAGCAACAUAAAUAAAUAGUAGAACAAUGAAUCAAUUAUAAAGUGAGAUAUCAAAUUUUUAUUUGGAAAACUCAAUACAAAAAAAAUCAUGAGAUCGUAGUAUAUUUCAAACUUCCACUAUCACUAAUAAUGAUAAUAUGUUUAUAAUAAGUCUUCUCCAAAAUAAUUAGAGGAUUAUAAUAACAUCAACAACAUAUAUAUUGGCUUAACAAUAAUAUAUCAUCAUCACCAUAGAUUUCAUGAAAGGAAAAUUUUAGACCUUACAAGGUGGGUAUAACAGAAAAGUAUCUCAGAGAGGAUAAACUAUAGAUCAGUACUAUUAAGAUUGUAAAGCUUAUUGCAAUAAUUCUUGGUAUAAAAUUUAAGUUAAAAUUGAUCAAAUUUAAUUACUUGAUUAUGUAGCAAAAGCCUCAAAUCUUAACUUUAUCUCUUCGUUUCUCUCUAUGUUCUUCUCUACAUGGCCACGGUUUCACCACACGCCUCUUCUCGUUGCACACCCAUCGCUGUGUAGGUCUCUUCUAUUUUCUUUUCUUUUUUAAUACAUUAGAUUUGGGCUCAAUAGUCAAAUCAAUCGGUCCAAGUUUACCUAUGAGCUUGACCCAACAAGUAUGAAGUUUGUUCACUCGUAUGUAUGCCGUUUUCUAUUGACUCUAUCGAAGGGUGACAUGUUGUCUUGAUAAUGAUGAUGUAUUGAUCGAAGGGGCCAAGUAAUCGAUAACCAUCCACGUAUCAUAAUUUCUGUAUAAUAAAGUAUGCAAAAUAUAUCAUACAUGAGAUGCAAGAGAAUUUAUUAGCAAUUGAUAUAAGAUCACCGUAAUCCUUAAUUGUCUACAUGUAGGAAGAAUCAUAAUAGGAAAAUAUAAAUUUUAUUCUUAUUUAUUAUGAUAAAAAAGAAGAAUGUAAAUUUUUUUUAUCUCCUUUUAUUAUAAAAUAGAUAAUCCUAAAUUAUCUUUUCUUUAUUUAUGAUAAAAGAGGAUAAUCAUAAAUUUUUUCUCUCAUAAAAUAUUAAUAAUAUUUUAUGAAGAUAUGAGAAGUUUAAUAUUUUUAUGUAUAUAGGUAAUCACGUGAGAUUGAUUAAAAUAUUAAUAAUAUUUUUCUCUAACAUAAGAGAAAUUAAUCUCUACAUAUCAGUUCUUUUUCACCAUUGCUUUGACAGCUUUUUCAAUCCCCCCUACAAUAAAUAAAGGAUGCACGUCUUAUAUAAGUCAAAUUAACGUUUAGGUAGUGAUGGAAGGGCACAAGAAGGCGAGUCAAUAGUGUUCUCUCUUGUCAUCAUCUCUUCUCAUCUACUAAUUAUAAUAAAAAAAAUCUUUUUUUUUAAAUUUUUUCUCUACAUACAAACAUCAUCAUUUUUUAGAAUAUUUUACCUAAUAUCUGAAAUACUAUUUUUUCCUUCAUUUUUCUAUAAAUUGUCCAAUUCAAGUGUUUUUAUAUUACAUUAUAGUAUUUUCAAUAAUACUAGAAAAAUAUUAUAAUACAGUAUAAAAUAAAUACUAUAUGAAAAUAUUUUAUAUUUAUAAUAUUUUUAAUAAUAAUAUUAGAAAAUUUAUUUUUUAACAAUAUAUUAUAUUUUUUUAAUAUAUUAUAGUAUUUUUGGUACUGUUGAAAAUACUAUAAUACAGUGAAAAAUAUUAUAAGAAAAAUAAGAAAAAACAUGAUGGGUGACUUGGGGUUAUUUCAAAUAUUACGUAAAAGACUAGGUGUCGUUUUGAUUUUUUUUUUGGGAAUUCUAAAAAUGAGGGGUGCGAAAAACCAUUAUUUUUUAGUAGGUUUUAUAGUAUUUUUGUUACUAUGAUCAAAAUACUGCAACAGAUUAAAAUAUUAUAAUACAUACAAUUUUUUUUUAAGAAUAGUUUAAUUUUUUUAAAUUAAAAAUAAUUAUUUAAAAAUAAAGAGAAAAUAUCUGAAUAUAUUUUUGUAAAGUAAAGUAGAAUCGCACAUUAAAUGUAUCUAAAAUGUUUCGAGAAUAAAGUCAAAAUGGUGAGUUCGAAGAAGGAAGAAGAUGACAAUGAUGAUUGUGAUAACAUAGUAAAAGUAGUCCAUUGAUGUGAUGAGUCGGAAUUAUGUUAUCAAUGCCAUGCUGCAUUACAAAAGUGGAGACUUGCAAUCUCUUCUUCCUCCUCUCCUCGUACCAAUUGUGUUCAUGGCUCCACGACUCCACAUCUUCUUCUUUCCUCUCAUGGCCGCAGGCCACAUCAUCCCUACAGAUCUACAAAGAUUCAAGGAUAUACGAUAUCCUUAAGUAACAUAAUCUUUCAUAUAUAUAGUUUUAAGUUUUAUAAUUUUUAUGCACCAAUCUUCACACGAUGACGACCACAUAUUUAGAAAAUUGGAGAUUUUGUUUUUAAUGUUCUUCCGAUGCACAUGUGAUGUCGCCCCUAGAUUUCCCUACAUGUUUUCCAUUCUAACAUUACCAAAAUCACCUGUAGUGUAAGAUAUGAAUAAAUUACUAUAAGAAGUAAUAUGAAAUGAAACACCAUAGUCAAUUACCCAAUUAUUGUCCCGACCUUUGAUUGACACAUCCGUCAUCACAAACAAUAACGAUAUCACCUUCAACAAAAACUAUAUUAGUCUCUUUCUUUUUUUUCUUCCUUUUAUUAUGUUCUCGUUUCCAAAACCAAUACUCUUUCUUCAUGUGACUUGGCCUAUUACAAUGGAAACACUUGAUAUCUCUUCUAGACUUAGAUCUUCCUGUAUAACUAUGUAGAUUUCUAAUAUAACUUCUUCCACAUCUUUCUUAUUUUUCAAUAACAAGUAUACAAGAAGAAGAUUCUUUUUGGUAUAUUGAUUUAGCAAAUUAUCUUUGAUCAUAUCUAUAGUUAGAGUCCUCUCAGGUGUGGAGUUACAAAUUAUCAUAAAAUACGUUUCCCAACUUCUCGAUAAAGAGUUGAGAAGUAACAAUCCUUGCAUCUCAUUAUAUAUAUAUAUUUAUAUAUUUUCAUAACAACUAAUUUGUUUAUAAGACUCUGAAAUAAGUUUAUGUGCUCAAUAAUAUUAUCAUCAUAUUUAUACUUCUAAUUGAUAAACCUUAUGAGGAGAUAAAUUUUAUUUCUCUUUGUCUUUUUUGCAAAGAAAUUUUCUAACCUUUGCCAAACAAUAUCAACUCUGGUUUCAUCAGAAAUAUGCUCAUGCAAAUUUACAUCCAUCAAUCUUCUAAUAUAGACAAUAGCUUUUCUAUGUUAAACCUCUCAUUCCUUGUCUUUCGUAGUAGAAGAUUUUUCUUUAACUUUAAUGAGCUUAUAUAAAUAUUUACAAUAGAGCAAAUCUUCCAUCAUACAUCUCCAAGUGGAAUAAUUUAAUGAGUUUAAUUUAAUCAUAUUAUCCGACUUUUCUUUUUUAAUCACACAAAAAAAACAAGCACCAAAUAACCUAAUACUAUAAUAUCAUUUAUUGGAAAAAAUUAUUAUAAUGGAAUAAUUCUUUUCCUAUAUUAAAAUGAGAUUCCUCACUAAAAUAUCAACUUAUUAUCAAAAAUAAAUAUUAACCAGAGCAACAUAAAUAAAUAGUAGAACAAUGAAUCAAUCAUAAAGUGAGAUAUCAAAUUUUUAUUUGGAAAACUCAAUACAAAAAAAAUCAUGAGACCGUAGUAUAAUUCAAACUUCCACUAUCACCAAUAAUGAUAAUAUGUUUAUAAUAAGUCUUAUCCAAAAUAGUUAGAGGAUUAUAAUAACAUCAACAACAUAUAUAUUGGCUUAACAAUAAUAUAUCAUCAUCACCAUAGAUUUAAUGAAAGGAAAAUUUUAGACCUUACAAGGUGGGUAUAACAGAAAAGUAUCUCAAAGAGGAUAAACUAUAGAUCAAUACAAUUACGAUUGUAAAGCUUAUUGUAAUAAUUCUUCGUAUAAAAUUUAAGUUAAAAUUGAUAAAAUUUAAUCACUUGAUUAUGUAGCAAAAGCCUCAAAUCUUAACUUUAUCUCUUUGUUUCUCUCUAUGUUCUUUUCGACAUGGCCAUGGUUUCACCACACGCCUCUUCUCGUUGCACACCCCCGCUGUGUAGGUCUCUUUUGUUUUCUUUUCUCUUUUAAUACAUUAGAUUUGGGUUCAAUAGUCAAAUCAAUCGGUCCAAGCUUACCUAUGAGCUUGAGCCAAUAAGUAUGAAGUUUGUUCACUCGUAUGUAUGCCGUUUUCUAUUGACUCUAUCGAAGGGUGACAUGUUGUCUUGAUAAUGAUGAUGUAUUGAUCGAAGGGGCCAAGUAAUCAAUAACCAUCCACGUAUCAUAAUUUCUGUAUAAUAAAGUAUACAAAACAUAUCAUAUAUUAGGUGCAAGAGAAUUUAUUAGCAAUUGAUAUAAGAUCACCGUAAUCCUUAAUUGUCUAUAUGUAGGAAGAAUCAUAAUAGGGAAAUGUAAAUUUUAUUCUUAUUUAUUAUGAUAAAAAAGAAGAAUGUAAAUUUUUUUUAUCUCCUUUUAUGAUAAAAUAGAUAAUCCUAAAUUAUCUUUUCUUUAUUUAUGAUAAAUAGAGGAUAAUCAUAAUUUUUUUCUCUCAUAAAAAUAUAUACUAAACAAGGAAAAAGAUAACACUUCGAAGAUAACUUGAAUGUUGAAGGGAUCGAUGACAUAUGAGAAGUUUAAUAUUUUUAUGUAUACAGGUAAUCACGUGAGAUUGAUUAAAAUAUUAAUAAUAUUUUUCUCUAACAUAAGAGAAAUUAAUCUCUACGUAUCAGUUCUUUUUCACCAUUGCUUUGAUAGCUUUUGCAAUCCCCCUACAAUAAAUAAAGGAUGCACGUUUUAUGUGAGUCAAAUUAACGUUUAGGUAGUGAUGGAAGGGCACAAGAAUCCUAGUCAAUAGUGUUCUCUUGUCAUCAUCUCUUCUCAUCGACUAAUUAUAAUAAAAGAAAUCUUUUUUUUAAAUUUUUUCUCUACAUACAAACAUCAUCAUUUUUUAGAAUAUUUUACCUAAUAUCUGAAAUACUAUUUUUUCCUUCAUUUUUUCUAUAAAUUGUCCAAUUCAAGUGUUUUUAUAUUACAUUAUAGUAUUUUCAAUAAUACUAGAAAAAUAUUAUAAUACAGUAUAAAAUAAAUACUAUAUGAAAAUAUUUUAUAUUUAUAAUAUUUUUUAACAAUAAUAUUAUAAAAUUUAUUUUUUAACAAUAUAAUAUAUUAUAGUAUUUUUUGGUACUGUUGAAAAUACUAUAAUACAGUGAAAAAUAUUAUAAGAAAAAUAAGAAAAAACAUGAUGGGUGACUUGGGGUUAUUUCAAAUAUUAUGUAAAAGACUAGGCGUCGUUUUGAUUUUUUUUUUUGGGAAUUCUAAAAAUGAGGGGUGCGAAAAAUCAUUAUUUUUUAGUAGGUUUUAUAGUAUUUUUGUUACUAUGAUCAAAAUACUGCAACAGAUUAAAAAUAUUAUAAUACAUACACUUUUUUUUUGAAGAACAGUUUAAUUUUUUUAAAUUAUAAAUCAUUAUUUAAAAAUAAAAGAGAAAAUAUCUGAAUAUUUUUUUGGAAAGUAAAGUAGAAUCGCACAUUAAAUGUAUCUAAAAUGUUUCGAGAAUAAAGUCAAAAUGGUGAGUUCGAAGAAGGAAGAAGAUGACAAUGAUGAUUGUGACAAGAGAGUAAAAGUAGUCCUUUGAUGUGAUGAGUCGGAAUUAUGUUAUCAAUGCCAUGCUGCAUUACCAAAGUGGAGACUUGCAAUCUCUUCUUCCUCCUCUCCUCAUACCAAUUGUGUUGAUGGCUCCACGACUCCACAUCUUCUUCUUCCCUCUCAUGGCCGCAGGCCACAUCAUCCCCAUGGUGGACAUCGCCAGGCUCUUCGUCGGUCGCGGCGUCAAGGCCACUUUGCUUGCGCCCGCUCCUAAACCGCCCCUGCUCGAUCACUGCGUCAAGAAGGCUUGCGACCUCGGCCAACAUAUUGACCUCCUCCUGCUUCCUCUCCCACCAUCUCCCACUGGCUCGCCGGAGCGCCCGACCUUCCUCACCUCCCCGGCAAUGUCGCUCGAGUUCUUCAGAGCCCUGGAGCAUCUCCGCGAACCGCUCGAACGAGCUCUCAGAGAACACCGGCCGAACUGCAUCAUCUCCGACAUGUUCUUGCCGUGGACAGCUGACGCCGCUCGCCGGCUCGGCAUACCGAGGCUCGUCUUCCACGGCAUGGGCUUCUUUCCUCUCUGUGUGCUGGAUAGCUUGGAUCGACACCUGACCGGGAGCAACACGAGGUUCGGUGACAGCGAUGUCGUGGUGGUGCCCGGCCUCCCGCAUCCAGUGUCGAUGAAGAGAUCGCAGCUGCAUGACUCGGUCGAAACGAGGAAUGAUUUCAGCGCGUUCAUGGAGAGGAUCACGGAGUCUGAGAUUGGAAGCCACGGGGCGGUGGUCAAUAGCUUCUUCGAGAUGGAAGCCGACUACGUUGACCACUACCGGGAUGUGAUGGGAAGGAAGGCGUGGCACAUCGGACCAGUGUCUCUGUGGAACAGAGACGCCGACGAGCUCGCGGAGAGAGGAGGAGCACCGGACAACUACAGAAGCAUUCUCACUUGGUUGGAUUCGAAGCCUUCCAAUUCGGUGGUUUACGUCUGUUUCGGGAGCCUGUGCCACCUGACGGCGGCUCAGCUGCAUCAGCUGGGAUUUGGAUUGGAGGCCUCCAGCCAUGGCUUCAUCUGGGCGAUCAACGGCGACGAGCAACACCUCGGGGGAAGGCAGGAGAAGGUCGAAGAACGAGGGAAGGGAUUGAUGGUACGAGGAUGGGGGCCGCAGCGGCCGAUACUGAACCACCGGGCAGUGGGGGCGUUCAUUACGCACUGCGGGUGGAACUCGGUGGUGGAGGCCGUGAGCGCCGGCGUGCCGAUGAUCACCUGGCCCAUGUUCGCGGAGCAGUUCUACAACGAGAAGCUGGUCGUCCAGGUGCUGCGGAUCGGGGUGAGCGUCGGGCCGGGGGUGUGGGGGAUGGAGCAGGAGAAGAAGCCGGUGGUGGGCGGAGCCGCGAUCGCAGCAGCGGUGGCGCAGCUGAUGGACGGCGGGGGGGAGGCCGAGGAGGGCAUGAGGAAGAGAGCCGCUGUGCUGAAGCAGAAGGCGAGGGACGCCGUGGGCGUUGGCGGCUCAUCCAAUCUCGAAAUGGAUCGACUGAUACAUGAGCUUUCAGUUAGCGAGAGCGAUGCCACCGAAUGAUGGCUGGUCGCCCCCAUCCCUUAUGCCCUUUUAUCUGCAAACGGUUCAACAGAAGAGCUCUUCUUCCAUGGAGGUCAUGGCGGCAAGUCAACCAUGUAUGUGCUUCUACUUCACUUUUCUUUGUGCUGUCAUUGGAAUAAGCUAAUCGAUAUUAUUUGUUUUAUAAAUAAUGAUAAAAUUUAUUAUUAUUAUUAUUUUAAAAGUUUUGAUAUGGAAUAUGUUAAUCAUUUUAAGUAAUUUUAUUUUAAAAAAUAUUUUAGAUAUAGAUGGGUUCUUUUAAGUUUCCUCUUUUUAGUUCUAUUUAAAGAUAUCAUCAAUGAAAUAAUUUUUAGAUGUUUUUUUUUUUCUCUCACCUUAUUCUCUUUCUAGUUAACAACAAUUGGUACAAAGCUACAGAUAGAUGUGGAGAGUCAAAAGAGUAGAAGAAUACAAAUUUAGAGGCCUAAAAAGUCAAAGAUCUUUAAAACAUUAGACAUUUAGAUGCAUGGAUCCAAAAGGUCAAUGAUCUAUAAUAGUGAGAGGUCGAAAGUAGAUUGAAGUCGUAGCUUUUCUUUCUUCUAUUAGCUUUUGUAUUGUCUUGUCGUAGCAUAUAUCAAUGAUCCUUUGAUUUUAGUGGUCCAUUAGAAUAUACCGAUUGAUAACUUUACGAAGUCCAUUAGAGUACCUAAACAAGCACCAAGGGAUAAUAUCGACUAAUGCAUAAAAGACAAAAGAGCUAUCUUGGAAAUAAUUGGAUACAUCCGAGCAGAUAUGGGAUCUAUCAAGUAAGUGCAGCUUCAAGCACUUGGCACUAACUUUGAAAACCUACGCAUGGAAUCAAGUGAAUAAAUUUUUUUUUGAUUAUUUUUCAAGGAUGGUGAUAAGAUAAGAUGGAGGAUGUUGCUAUCUAUCAUAGAGAAAGUCGAUUGGACGGGGGGCAGUGACACCAAAACUUAAUAAUUUUAUUAUCUCUCCUAUUGAAGAAUCUAAAGAUAUUGAUGAACUUAUUAAUUGAUGAGUUAUAAAGUUUUUUUUAUUUGUUCACCAACAAAAAAAAAAAAAAUCCGAUAAGAUAAUAAAAUCUAUCAACACAAGGGACAAAAACAAGGGAAAUGUGAAGAUUCAAUCCGAGAAAUAUUCAAUUCAAACUAUUUUUAAUAUUUUUAUUUAUUCUAGAUUUGAAAACUAAUUUGCUUAGUGUUAUACAGCUUCAAGAGAAAGGCUAUGAGAUCAUUACUAAGAUAGGAGUUUACCGAAUUUAAUAUUCAUAUAGUUCCUUUAUCUCUCAAUAAUAUUUCUCACCCUUGUCUAAAGACAAAAUUAAAGAAUAUGACAUGGUUACGAUACUUAAGAUUUGGACAUUAAAAUUUUAGUGGAUUAACAACUUUAUAAAAGAAAAUUUGGUAAGAAUGUGUUGUCGGCAAACAAUAUCAUGAAUAGUUUCCCAAGGCAAAAUCAUAGAGAGUAAAAAGAGGUAUUAGGGUUGGUUACUCCAUUCUAUAAAUCCAACAUCUAAUGGAGGUGAAAGAUACCUCAUUAAGUCGGAAACUAUGAGUAUAUUUCUUGUAGGAAAAGUAUGAGACAUUCUUAGCAUUUAAGAACUACAAAAACAUAUUGAAAAAAAGGUUGGAAGGCCUAUAAAGAUUCUUUGCACUGAUGGUGGUGGUGGAGACCACAACUCAUACGAAAUUGUAAAUUUUUGUGAGGUGCAUGCAAUCUAAGAGCCAACUUACAAUAGCUUAUAUACCUCAUAAGAACAGUUAUAGUGCAGAGCUUACUAAAAAUAAGUUCAAUUCCAAAUAAUUUUCAAUCUAAGGUAGUUAAUUGGAGUAUUCUUAGGACAUCUGUUCAAAAUAUAACUCAUGAAAAGCAUUGAUAGAAUGUGAACCGAUAACAUAUGAGAUUUCCCUAACUACGUAGCAGAUGAUAUUUUUCUAAUUGUACGAGAAAAUCUCGCUACUCAAUUGAGAAAAAUCCUCUAUUUCAAUAUGUAUAAAUAGAUACCGUAUCAAACUAAUUGAAGCGUAUUUUUUUCCUUUACACUUCAUUCUUCAUUUUACCAUGGUAUUAGAACAGUGAAAAGAGCGAGAAAGGGUUGCCGUAGCCACAUUCCUGAGCGAGGCUUUGCCCCUACUUCUGGCCAGCGACCAUCGCCGCCGUCGCUAUUUCCCGACCAGCACCCCCCCUCGUUACGCUACAACCGCCCUCCAACCGCUCAUGCCCCAUCCUGCUCGAGCGAGAAAGGGGCUCCUCAUCCCACCUUCCACCGUAGUCAUCCUUAGCCGAGCCUUCGCUGGAGACGAUGUUGCCAGCGUCCCGUCCCGUCGUAGCCCGAGUCCCCUUGAGUUGAGCGGCUGCGGUUGCGACCAAUCCAAGAACUUGGCGGACAUCUUCUCCUUGAUGUCUCGUAUUAGCUCGAUCACUUCCAUCGGCGAGGAACCAACGAUGGUCAUCUGGAUUCCCAUGGGGUACACGUAGUUGCCAUUGAAGCCUUCCUGCGACAGCAGCUGGUGCAUAAGGUGGCGGGUGUUGCCGCCUUUCCAAUCACCGAACUAAACUAAACGCUGCGAUCUGCACCGAUUGCAGCCAACCCUUCUCACUAGCAACGAGCGAAUAGUUGCAGCCCUCUGCCAUUACUCUCUGAACUGUAUCGAUUGCAGUUCUUCAAUGACGAUCCUCCAGGAAUGGACUCCCUGACUUCACCCUUGAUCCGACAUACGCGGCUUGUCUGAGGAGCUGCUGGUCACACUCCGGUGGUGAACAUAACCUUUUCCCCAUGCUCUCUUCUUCUUGCUCGUUGUUGUAGAUUCCUAAUCACUACCACGCUACCAGGAGUAGCCAUCCUUGCUAAGCGUUGUUGGGCCCAGUCUGCACUGCAACAGCGCCCGAGGUGUGGCCUUUGGCGAAGUUGCACCGAGGUGAGUGUAGCUCCGCUGCAUCUUGCUCCACCUCGCACAACACACUUUGGAAGAGCUCAACAUCGCAAGGGAGCUCGAGCGGCCUAGCGACGGUAUACCCGACGAGCAACAUCCGAAACCACUCCCACUCCCUUGCUACCCAUCACUGUGUCGCUGCUAAGCAAAGUACACUAGUGAUCUUUGACGAUGAAGCACGUAGCAAUACUCUUCACGUUCUUCACCGCCCAAAUCCCCAAUCGCAGAAUUGCUACACAGAGAUCUGCAGCUUUACUUAAUAUUACACAGAGCUAAACUACAUACUUCACUACAGACUUCCACUUUGCUCCCUUGUAUUGAUACAUAUCUUUCACAUGUUCUCAUCAUCUACCACUGAUGCUCUAGUUACUGUUCCCAUAGAGAAUCAUAGUACUAUUCUAUAUACAUGCCUUAUCUCCAUCAAUACAGUAACCCUCAUCCCCUUUAAGUUAUCCAAAGGUGACAACUAAAGUACUCAAUUAUCUAAUCUCCUAUUUAGCUACAAUUUACUAGGCUAUGUCGAUGACUCUCUUCGUUGUCCACUAGCGAUGCUCAACAUCCCAGGAGCACCCAAUCCAGUGCUAGUCAUAGGUAUCCUGCAAGCCAAUUACGUGAGUGAUGGCAUGUGUGACUUGACACACAAUUUUUUUGUUUAUAUUUUGACAUUUUAUCACUUCAUAUUACCUGUUGCUCGAAUAUAUUAUAAUGUCUAUGGAUCUAUACAAUGAGAAUUGAAUCAUAAUGAGAUCACGAUAAUGAGACCGAUUCACUUUAAAACACAGAACCUAAAUAAUUCCGGUCAUAGGUUACUCGAGAGGGACAUCGAGAAAACUAGAUAGACUGGUGUGCUGUAUACCUGUCCAUAUGAUGGACGCAGUUGGUCUCAUAACUGCUCGUGUGAGGACACUAGAGAUACAAUACAUGUGCUCAUUGGAGAAUGAGUUCACUAAUUGAUCCGCUUACGGAAUGCUGGAUGAUUGAUGAUGCCUUAUUGUUAGACAACGAUUCUAUAGUCCCAGUGGUAUAUCUGGUCUUUAGACUUGAGACACCAAGGAUGUCCUAUAUGAGUACUCCAUUCUUUGAUACCAGACUUAUAGGUCUGGAGGUUCCAGAUCUAGCACAACCGGUCAUUGGGAGUGGUAGCCAACCUUACGAUGACUAUUGAGUAUCGAUAGAGGAUCAUCCACUUUCAGUAUCAUGAGAGAAAUAUCUAAUGUGUUCUUGCUCAAACAAACCCCUAGUGUCAUUCAGAUUGAGAGAGAAAGAGUUCUCUGGGAGACUCCGAUUAGAGCGAUUAGAAACCAUAUGGGUUUGACAAUACCAUGCCCGAUAUAUGGUCUUUGGGAUAUUAGAUGGAUGAGAGCCUAUAGGUAUAUGGUAAUUGAGGACAGAUAGGUCUAAUGGAUUGGAUUCCCCUAUAUCGUUUGGGGACUACGGCGUAGUGGCCUAGUACGUUCGUAGUUGAUGAGUCGAGUGAAUUAUUAUGAAGAUAAUAAUUCACCGUGUAAGAAGAAGUUCUGAUAGGUAUGACUCACUCCGAGCUCGAUAUUGGGCCUAAAGGGUCAUACACAUAUGACAGGCAUUGCGAUAAGUAGAGGUUCAGAUAUGAGAUAUCCGCUAGAGCAACUAUCUUAUUGGAUAUCCAAUAAACCCCAUGAAUUAUAAGAUCCUAUGGAUGUGAUCCAAUAAUAGCCCAUAAGAGAUUAUUGGAUAGAGAUCCACUAAUCUAAGAGGCUUGGGUAGUUGGAUGGAGAUCUAAUACCCAAUAGGAUAGGAUCCAUUAGGGUUAAGUUGACAGGGGACCUCUAUAAAUAUAAGGGAAUCAGUGGUUUAUAGGCUAUAGCUUUUUGGUUGCCUCUCCUAUUCUCCUCCCCCUCUCCACCUUAGAUAGCAGGCUUGAAGUUUUAAGGAGCAUUGUUGUAGCCCUGUUGUAUGAAUCACCAUUAGAGAGGAGGGCACUUGACCUCCUUCACUAUCUCAUAGAGAUCUGUAGGGAUUCAGGGAUAUACGAUCUCCCUAGAUAACAUAAUCUUUAAUAUACACAGUUUUCUAUUUCGUUAAUUUUGCAUACCAAUCUUCGCACGACGAUGAACAUAUCUUUGAAAAAUUGGGGAUUUUAUUUUCUAUUCUUCUACUGCGCAUGUGAUGUCGCCCCCAAAGAUUUCCUAAAAUUCAGUACUAAAUCCGGACCACAAACUAUGGUUACGCCAGGAUAAUCUCAUCCUCCAAGCAAUUUAAGCAUCGAUCGCUAGAUCCAUCGCCCCACUCAUAUCUUUGUGACACUAUUGUCGAAGCUUGGUGCAAGUUGUAAACUACCUUGGCAAAUCGUUCAAGUGCUCACAUGCUUAGUCUCCUAUCUAGUCUCAUGAAAACAAAACAAGAGGGAAUUACUAUUAUCAAUUAUCUACAAAAUAUAAAAAUUAUCAUCGAUAACUUGGCCUUGAUAGGUCAUUCUCUCAGUGAUGAAGAAGUCACUGUCCAUACCUUCAACGACCUAGGGGAUGAGUACAAAGAACUAUCAGCAGCAAUACAAGCACGUGAGUCAUUAGUGUCAUUCGAAGAACUGUAUGAUAAGCUGACUAAUUUUGAGAUAUAUCUAAAGCGUGAGGACAAAUUGCCAGGGCCAUCUAUCACAGCUCAAGUUAGUCAAAAAUCCAUGAGGAAGAGCAAUCAGUAUAAUAAGACUAUAAACAAAGGUUUGAGCAAGAUGCCUCCUAAACUUAUGAGCUCCAAACAAACCAUCCCUCCUCCAUAUUAUUAACAUUUCAAUCAUAACUACUAAGGUAGCUACUUCAAUCAUCAGUAAUCUUAGCGCCCUAACCAUAUAAACCAACAAAGAGUUAUCUGCCAAUUGUGUGAUAAAAUCGGCCACUUUGCAAAGCUCUAUCGAUCUCGACCCAGACUUUCUGCUCAAUCACAUUGGCCUCAAGCUAAUCUCACGACUACUCCAAACACUAGUGAUCAUAAUUGGAUUGUGGACUCUAACACAUCUUAUCACAUUACUUCUGAUCUACAAAACUUGUCCAUCCACAACAACUAUAGUGGAAAUUAUGACAUCAUCAUCGGUGACGGUAAAGGAAUCCCUAUUACUUAUAUUGGUUCCAUAAUACUUAAUUCACCUACCAUAACUUUUACACUCGAUGAUGUUCUGUGUGCACAUCACAUUAAACGAAAUUUUAUUUCUAUUUUUUUUUUAAUUUUAUAAAUAAAAUAAUACCUUAAUUAAAUUUUUUUCCUAACUCUUUUCUUAUCAAAGAUUUGAGCACGAGCGCAUCCUUGGUCCGAGGCCAGAGAAAGGACAAUGUUUAUGAAUGACCAUUAGUUCCAUAAAUAAAACAACCUACUAUUUACUUUUUAGUUGCAACUCCAAUUGAUGUGUGGCAUUGUCGUCUUGGUCAUCCCUCACCCUCUAUUUAACAUAAAUUACUUUCUCGUUAUUCUUUUCAUACUCUUAAAAAUAAUAGCAUUAUAGCUCAUUGUGAUGCUUGUCUCAAUAAUAAAAGUCAUAGACUCCCUUUUGGCAUAUCCUCUAUAUCCUGUUCUAAAUAAUUUGAAAUUAUUUAUACUGAUGUUUGGGGCCCUACCCUAAUCACUUCUUUUGACAAGUUUAGAUUUUAUAUCAUUUUCGUAGACUAUUUCACUAGGUACUCAUGGAUAUACCCUCUCCAUCAUAAAUAUGAAGUUUUAAUAAUUUUCAUCAACUUUAAAAAGUUGGUCGAAAAAUUCUUUCAAUCUACAAUUAAAACAGUUUACUUUGGUGGCAGAGGUGAAUAUCAAGCCCUCACAUCCUACCUCUUAACCUGUGGCAUCCAACACCUUAAGUCACCCCUACAUACUUCUCAACUAGUUGGCUCUGUUGAAUGCAAACAUCGACAUAUAGUUGAAAAUAGUUUUAUACUUCUAUAUCAAGCCUCCAUGCUAGUAACCUUUUGAUUUGUAGCCUUUUAAACUACUGUCUACCUUAUUAAUCGUAUGCUUACUCUAAUCCUCCAAUACUAGUCACAAUUUGAAAAAUUAUUUUUCAAAUCCUCAAACCUUUAAAAACUCAAAGUAUUUUGUUGUUUAUGUUAUCCAUGGCUAUGUCCCUAUGCCUCACACAAGAUAACACCAAGAUCUAAACCUUACAUUUUCAUAGGAUACUCUCUUGAACAUAAUACAUUUCGAUGCUACGAACCCAAAUCUCAAAAAAUCUUUAUAUCACAUCAAGUUAUUUUUUGUGGAGUCUACCUUUCCGUUUUAAAACCAUGAGUCUCUUACCAUGAAAGCUAUUCCAACAAAUAUAUAUCACUAGAGUAUACUGUUGAUCCUCUCAAACGAGUCUCUCACCACACCAUUCAAUCCUUUUCCUAAGGAUCCACAUUCUCUUAUUCUCCUGAUUCAGUAGCUCCUUACUCUCUCCAUUGCUUCUCUCCCUUCUUCACAAGCUUCACCUACUACUGAAGUAAUAUCCUCAGAAACAUAACCAUCUUCUUAAUCCUCUUUUGGACCUAGUGACACCGAUAUACGUCAGCCUACCUCGACCCGUGUCAAUGCCUCUCCACCACCCAUACCAAUAACUCAGCCUACAGCUCUUAGACAUCUAAUGAUAACAUGCUCAAAAAGUGGUAUUUUUAAACCACGUAAGGUUCUCGACCUACAUGCUAUCAUAAAAUCCUCUCCUGAGACUAGUGAACCUACCACAAUUAUUCAAGCCCAAAAAUCUCCACACUGGCAUAAAGCCAUGUAUGAAGAAUAUGAUGUCCUGCUCCAUAACUUUACAUGGACCCUUGUACCUUUUCAUCCUACACAAAACAUCAUCGGGUGUAAAUGAGUCUUUUGAAUUAAGCGGAACCCAGACAAGUCCGUUACUAGAUAUAAAACAUGUCUAGUAGCUAAAGGGUUUCAUCAAUGACUUGGAGUUGACUUCAAAGAGACUUUUAGUCUUAUUGUUAAAUCUAUAAUAAUUCGGCUUAUCCUAAGUUUAGCCAUCUCAAAAGGCUGGCACUUACGAUAAUUGGACGUUAAUAAUGGCUUUCUACAAGGGACUCUAACUGAAAAUGUCUUUAUGCAACAACCCCAUGACUUCGUUCAUCAUAAGUAUCCAAGAAUGUUUGCAAACUAUAAAAAGCCAUUUAUGAACUCCGUUAAGCUCCAAGAGCUUGGUAUACUGAACUUGGAUCGUUUUUGAUAUCAAUAGGUUUUAUCAACUCCAAGUUUGAUACCUCAUUAUUCCUAUGACAAUAAAAUGGAAACACAAUAUAUCUUCUAGUAUAUGUGGACAAUAUCAUAGGCAAUGAUCCCUUGAAGAUUUAGGCAUUUCUAAAGCAAUUGGCUGAUCGGUUCUCCCUCAAAGAUCUAGGACCCUUGAGUUACUUUUUUAGAGUGGAAGCAACAUUUACAUCCUCAUGUUUUCUCCUAUCAUAAAGUAAGUACAUUCAAGACUUAUUAUCAAAGACAAAUAUGCAAGAUGCAAAAGAGGUUGCAACUCCCCUCUCUACUAGUGAAUCACUCAAAUUAUGUGAUAGCAUCCCUACUACAGACUCAACUCAAUAUCGAUAAGUACUUAGAUCCUUACAGUACUUGACUCUCACCCGUUCCGAUAUCUCAUUUGCGCUCAAUAAAUUAUUUUAAUACAUGCACCAGUCUUCUACUAUGCAUUGUUCUAUGAUUAAAUAAAUUUUACGGUAUCUUAAAGAGACCCUCAAUCAUGGUCUCUUUCUCCGCAAACACAUCCCACUUCAUCUCCAUGCCUUUGCUGAUGCUGAUUAGACAAAAAACUUUUAUGAUAGAACAUUUAUGUCAGGGUAUAUUAUCUUUUUUGGAUCUAAUUUAAUUAGUUGGAGUUCUAAGAAGCAUAGACAGUCGCACAGUUUACAACUGAAGCUGAAUAUCAUAUCAUCGCUACCGCUGCUGCUGAACUCAAUUGGAUUACAAAUCUCCUCAAGGAACUCAACAUCAGUUCUACCCUUACUUCUACAAUAUAUUGUGACAACGUUGGAGCUACAUAUUUAUGUGUCAAUCUAGUGUUCCACUCACGUAUGAAACACAUUGCCAUCGACUUUCACUUCGUACGAGAUCAAGUUGUCAGAUAUCAGCUACGUGUCUCUCAUGUACAUACGGUUGAUCAACUAAUAGACUCACUCACGAAGUCUCUCGUCCACAAACUAUUUUUAUUGCAUCGGUCUAAGGUCGGCAUCCUUAAUAGGAGCUCAAUCUUGUGGGGGCAUGAUAACAGAUUGAGAUUUUCUUAAUUGCAUAGUAGAUGAGAUUUCCCCGAGGAAAUCUCGCUGCUUAGUUGAGGAAAAUCCUUUCUUUCAACAUGUAUAAAUAGAUACCAUAUCAAGCUAAUUGAAGCAUGCUUUUUGCCUUUACACUUCAUUCUUCAUUUUAUCAUAAAUCACCAUGACAAGGUAGAAAGGUGCAUUUUUUUAGGGUAAGUGAAAGUAUUUAGAUUAUAUAAUUCUUUUGUAAAAAAAAACCUAUUAAUUGUGAUAUUAUUUAUAAUGAAAAAAAUUACGAAUACAGGGUGAAAAUAUUAUUGAACAAUCAGCAUUAACAAAUUUUGAUAAAGAUGAAUAAUUCAUCCUCUUAUUCAAGAUCAUUAGCCUAUAUCAUAAUUCCACAAGGCUGAACGAUAGGAGUAAAAACUAAUGAAACUAUAGAUGUAAGAUUCAGUUCAUAGAUAAGAAGGAUUAUAGGAUAUAUGAACUUGACCAGUCUAAAGAUCCAUUAAUGCAUUUUGCUUAAUUUUCAUAUUGUGAUCUUAUAACAUUUGAAGAUGUUGCGAAACAAUCAUAACGUGGAAAGGCGAUAGAUGAUGAAAUUAUAAUAAUUAAAAAAAAUAUGGGAGUUAACAGAUCUUCCUAAGGGCUAGAAGAUAAUUGGUAUAAGUAUGUGAUGAAGUUAAUAAGUACAAAGCUCAUUUAAGCAUUGACUACAAAUAGGUAUUUACUCCACAAAUGAUUAUUACAUUAACAUCACAAAACUCUUGGUUUAUGUUUCAAUUAGAUGUGAAAUCAACAAUUCUUGUAUGGAGACUUAUAUAUAUAUGUAUAUUUAUAUGUAUAUAUAUAUAUAUGUAUACAUAUACAUAUAUAUACAUAUAUAUAUAUACAUAUACAUAUACAUAUAUACAUAUACAUAUACAUAUACAUAUAUAUAUAUAUAUAUACAUACAUAUACAUAUACAUAUAUAUAUAUAUACAUAUAUAUAUAUACAUAUAUAUAUAUAUAUAUAUAUAUAUAUAUAUAUCAAUUAAUCUUAAAAAUGAGCAUAAAGUAUAUAAAUAAAAAAAAAGUUCUAUAUGGACUAAAACAAACUCCAAAGACUUGGUAUAUAGAUUCUUCUUAUUUUUUUUGAAAAAGAAAAUUCAGAAAUACCUAUAUGAACAUAUACUUUUUUUUAAAUUAGAGUUGAAGAUGGAGGAAAAAUGGUUCUUAUAUUAUAUGCUAGAUGAUCUGAUUUAUAGUAGAAAUGAUAGAGCCAUAUUUGAUAUAUUUAAGUAAUCGUUGAAUUUGAUUUGUCAUCUGAUCUUGGAAUGAUGUAUUAUUUUCGCGGCGCAGAAGUGGUGCAAUCAUACACUGACAUCUCUAUUUCCCAAAAGAAAUAUGCACUAAGUAAUUUUGGAUAGAUUUUAGAUGACAAAUUGUAUUUCUAUUUCAACUCCAACUGAUUUGAGUUGGAAACUAACAAAAGAUUGACAACACACCUUUUAAUAAAUGGUUAGAAGUUUUAAUGUAUUUGACUAGUAAUAUAAUAAUGCAUGCGAAAAGUCUUAUUAGUAGAAACAUAGAAACUCCGAAACGAUAGGGGCGCAUCAUCAUCAUCAUCUUCUGGCAACGAAGAGAAUUUAUUGAUAUCUACGAGCAGUAUCAAAUUCGGGUUAUUGUUUAGAAUGGGAGAUGAAAAGUCAGAUUUAAUUGGCUUCAACAAACAGCGACCGUGCAGGAGGAGAUAUUGAUGAUAGAAAAAGAAAAAGUAUACCCAGUGUAGGUUUUUAAUGCUUGGUUUGGUUGGUUGUAGAGCUAUUUUAUGGCUUUUAAAAUACCAAUCGAUUGUUUGUUGUCUGUCUUAUCAACCACAACAUUCAUUUGUCGAGCCAUAUAUAUUACUAUAUAUAUAGUCGAGGAAAAUUCUUAAGGAGAUUCAUUUUGAACGAGGAGGACUCCAUUUCAAUUUUUUUUGUGAUAAUUGCUCGGCAAUCAAAUAUUUCAAUAAUAUUUUGUUUUGUAUUAAAGUAUCGCUGCAUCAAAUGUACUAAAGAAGUAAGUAAAUACAUUGAUUUCAAUAAUUUUGUUUUGAUACGAUGGCUACCUUCUUUUCGACAACUUAAUACAAUAUAUCUUUAUCCACAAAAUAGAAUAUUAACAUUUCUAAGAGACGCUCUGCUCUUUAGGUGGCAUGAAAUAUCAUCAACAUUCUCAUGUAUAUAUAUAUAUAUAUAUAUAUAUAUUUAUAUAUAUUACAAACAACGUGAUGACAAGACUAAGAGGUGUAUCACAAUAAGAUUGGGGGCUGUGUAUCUAUAGCUUAAUUCUGAUGUAUGCUAUCUUUAAUGGAGGGUUGGAAGGAUGAUUGGCAUCCUCAACUUGCUUAUAUUUCGUUAGAGAGAUACUCUCCUAUCAUGGCUAAAUCAAAUGACAUGAUUCACAUCAAAUAAAGAAUACAGAGGAUCUCAUGUACAUCAUGAGAGGUUUUGAUUAUGAAUUUUAUCGGAUGGUUAGUGUGUUAAAAAAAUAUUGUACUACCUUGAGUUUUCUUUCACAUCGGAAAAAUAUAAUCAAGUAUUAUUAAGUAUCUUGGGCCAAACCUCCUAUCCAAAUAAACUGUAACACCCUCCUUCGUUCAGCUUAAAUUAUAUAUAUCUAUAUACAUAUAUAAUAUGAUGAUGAUGAUGAUGAUAAUGAUGAUGAUACCCUGUGAGACGGGGAAUUGGCACACACCACCCAAGUCAAGUGGCAAGCCAAGACGAUGACGUACGACGACGACUACCUGCGCAUCCCCACACCACGACUGUCGCUUUCACGAUGACCACUUUCUUCCUCACGCAUUUUCCUCGCAACGGAUGGUCGUGUUAUAUUUAUUUAUUUAUUCAUCAGGUGUUAUUUACAAGUUGAUUUUACAUUUUAGAUUACGUAAUAAUAAUAAUAAUAAUAAUAAUAAUUGCCAACAGACGUCAAGGAAAAAGCGAACGAUCAAGGAAUCUGAUGCUUAUCUCUUUCUUUUCUAGUCGAUUGUAAUGUGCUGAGAAAACUAUCUUUCUUUUUAUUUUCAUGUAAGAGAUGAUAAAAAAAAAAAAAGAUUUGUAUAUAUCUAAGCAUCCUUGAAAUUUCAAUUCUAUAUUUCUCUUCUAACGGGCGUCUAGCAAAGAUAGGGUGUGAAGCCGGUGGGCGGGUGGGGGCCCGUCCCGGAAAGAUACGGGUGAAUUCACUUGACAACCGACCCUCGCCUCCCUCCCUAAUGGCGGAGGACUGGUGGAUGGAUGGAGGCAUCAUUUUCGCAGCCCACCCGACGGGGCCAGUUUGCCCUUCUUGAUCUCAAAGCCGUGCGACUGCUCUCGCUCGAUUGGAAACACUUCCCCCCCUAACCUUAAGCCAAGCAACGCUCAACCGCUUCCUCUUCUGGUUUAUUAACUCCUCCUCCUCCACUCUCUCAUGGCGACACCGACGAAGAAGCCAUAGCAGACCAUACCAGAGGAAGAGGAGAUAUAAAUCGAGAGACAGAGAGACACGUACCUCUCAUCAUGGCUUCCUCCAGCUUCCAUGAAGAGGAGACGGAUGAUGGCUUCGUCUCCGCCGUCCGCCACGAGUCUCCGCAGCAGAUCCCCGCCGCUCCUCAGUGCACACAGGAGUCGCUACAGCUGGAUGACGGCGGGGGCGACGAGUCAGAGGACGACGACGACUUCGAAUUCGCUUUCGUGAUCAAGGACCCUGAGGGCGGUCAGGACAUUACCGCCGACGAGAUCUUCUCCGACGGCCAGAUCCGCCCCGUCUACCCCGUCUUCGGCCGCGCCCUCCUCCUCGCCGACGACGACGGCCUUCGCCGCCGCGGGAGAGCGGCGGCGGAGCUGGAGGAGGAGCGCGCGACCUCGGCGGUGCGGGGAACCCUCCGCCACCUCUUGAUCGCGGAGCGGGAGGAGAACCUUGGCGCGUCAUCGUCGUCCUCGUCCUUGGCGGCGGACGAGCUCGCUGGGGUCCCGCCGGGGACGUACUGCGUGUGGGCCCCCAGGUCGGCGGCGCUGACGCCGACUCGGUGCAAGAAGAGCCGAUCCACGGGGUCCUCCUCCCUACGGUGGCGGCUCCGGGACCUGGUGGUCGGGCGGAGCCACAGCGACGGGAAGGAGAAGUUCGUGUUUCUCGCAGCCGGGGAGGACAACGACAAGGAGAAGGAAAGCCGUUGCCGUGUAACCAAGACGGAGGAGACGGGGAAGGGCAAGGAGGAGAAGGCGAAGGGGAAGCGUGGUGAGGCGACCGAGGUGGAUAUAGCCACCGCUCAUCGGAUCUAUUACGGGAGCCGCGGCGGCGCCCGGAGGUCGUUCCUACCGUACAAGCAGGACUUGCUUGGCUUCUUUGCUAAUGUGAACGGGAUUUAGCCGGAGGCAUCGCGCUUUUUUGAAUCUCUCUGUCUCUCUCUCUCUGUUCCUAUCUUUAAUGGUUAUAAUUUCUUGGCUAGAAGACCUCAUCUUCUUUUUACUGUGGCCGUGUGAAGCUUGUUCGUGUUGACAUGGAAGUAACAGUGUGACCGCUUUACACUUGUGCUAGUGUGUGUGUGGGGAUGGGGGAAUGGUCAACCUUCUGUCAUUGACUAGUGUUGACCACCAUGGUGCCUCGUAGGGUAGUGCACGUUGAUGGCAAUGGUGGUGUGUAAAUCAUAUUUACUAAACCCUAAGUUAGUGACAUGACAAGACGAUAAUUUGCAACAACUCCUCCAUGAAAUAUAUAAUCUAAUCGAAGAGAAAUGACCCAUCAUGUAAUUUAUCAUGAAUUGAUUCGAUUUGUGGUCCCAGACAGUGACACCUGCUUUACACUUGGCGGUGCUUGCUUUGUUAGUUUCGUAGACUUUAGCAAAAGAUGAAAUCGAAAGUAAGUAAAUGGACAUCUAAGUCACACAAAGAAGAAAUGGAGACAUGGAAUUGAUAUGCUCGAGUGGUCCCUGCCAUGGUGCUGCCAAACUUUGUGUGCAUGCUGAAGCUUGGCAUUUCUUUAUGGGAAAAAAGCUCAUGAACACGGUGAAAUAUUAUUAGGAUAUCAGUGGCUGGUCAUGUACCUGAAGAAAGCUUGGAGACCAAUGAUGUUGGAUCUGACACCACAAAGUUCCAUGUGUUAGAUCCUUGGAUACGUCAAGAGACCAAGCUGAAAUGGUGCGAGCAGCUCCUGCUGGAAGCAGCCAUGACUGCACUGUAUUAAAUCUUGGAUAGCCAUGUAAAUCCUGCACAAGAAUUAAGGAACUAUGUGUACUUAUUAGAACAAAAACAAAUGCUUGUUAAAACAAUUUAUCAUGGGAAAAAAACCAAUCACAGGUGUGUCGUUUUCACCCUUGAUGUCACUGCUGUUCACCUGGAAUGAUCUGGUUUGGUGCUUCAACAUCAGCUACGUGUUGGCAAUGUCAAAUUGCACUACUAACAGCGGUGCUUGCUGGGGCCAUGAUAAAGAAAUGGAUAGCAAACUACGCUUCUCAUUACACCAGGAUUCAAUGGAAUCAUGUGCAAUUACAUUACAGUUAGCUACCUCUUCCUCCAUGCUCGAGGUUUUCUUCUCUCUGCAGUCUCAUUUUCUUGUGAAGUUACAUCAAACAGGUAAUUAGCCACCGCAAACAUGACCGGUAGAGACAAUACUCUUCAUUCCAGGUAAAAUAAUCAAUAUCAUUAUCUGGUAUACACCAUCCUUUUGGCAGGAUCGAAGGACUACGAGUUCUCUUCAGAAUGGAGUCUAAAGAGAUUAGUUUCAGGAAGGAUCGAUUGCGUUUUGAGAUAAAAUAGCUGCUAUCAGAGGCAGGAGAAGAACUCAUGUGAUUUGUAGUAUUUAUUGAGAACAACAUUGUAGAGAGGAUGCACGGACUCUAACAGGUUAGCAUAAGGACCCAACACUGCUCUUGUUGGUGGUGGUACGCUAGCAUCUUUUGAGCAGCUAUACUGAGACACCGACAAACCACUUAGGCAGUAACAUGAAUGGUAAAAGUCCCGUUGUUUGCCAGGCUUGUCCUUGAACCCUCCCUCGAGUACCUACAGACACAAUGUUUUAGGUGCUUUAACUAUUGAAAUGAUGAACAAGAAGUGCUGGUGAUCAACAAGUAUACGAGUAACCAAAACCAUGCGAUAAGUUCAGCUGCUGUAAACAUGAAAAGAAUAAGACAGUGCAUUAUGUUACACAACUAUCUAAAACAAAGCCAACCUACAUGUAUAAAUGAACUUUACACUUCCCUCCUAUUCUAGAAGAAAAUAUUAUAAUGCUGUAUCCAGGUAAAGCUAACAAAACCAUCGUUUAUUCAUGCAGGAUAUCCCAGAAUAUGUUAAAAUGAAGACCAAAAAUUACAUGACAAAUAUAGAUUAUUUCAAAUUUUGCUUAAAAUAUAAAACCAUCAACUGAAUCCUCAGUUUUUAGAUUAGAUAAAUUAUGUUAAGCUCAUCAAAUCCUCUUGACGGCGUUGGAACAUCAGGCUAAUCCUUUUGGCAACACCAGCAGUGAUGAUUGAUGUAUAAAAGACAUGUUAAGACUGUAUUCUAACUAAUGGGAAGUCCCUCAAGUUCUAUAAGCACAAACACCUGAAAUAUUUCUCAAAUCUCAUAGUUUUUGGCAUCAAACUUUUGAAUACUCUUGAAACAGAGUUUUCUUCAUUAUUCAGUACAUACCUGUGAACAUAGGAGUAUAUAUUGCUGCAAGGCAAUACUUUGGAAUAAUGGACCACAUUCAGUUUGUUUUUCCAUGAAUGAAAAACCAAAAUCUGAAAGUCCUCCUGUUUCAAGAUCAUUUCAUAAAAAUCAGCACAACAAUAAUGCCUAGAGUACAGGAAUGCAGUUGAAGCAAAGCACCAGCAUAUAUUGAAAAAAAAAAAAUACAAAUAGAGAAUCAGUAUCUGUUCCAUUGCACAGCACAUAUAUAAAUAAGUUCAAUACUGAAGAAACAGGUGAGUCUUGUAAUCAAAUAAGAAAACAGAAAGGACAGGAAGUCAUUGUUCAAAACUUUUUAAAUCCCAAGUUGUCCACUAGAUUGGUCUUUAGUUGCAGACCACUCAUCUUUCCUCACUUGUGUGUCUUCUUCUCCUUAAAUACUAUUACCCCGAACUCCACUUUUGUGCUGCAAGAACAAAAGAUAAUUUGUCCCUACUUUUGUCAGUUUAGAUGAACCCACACAGUUGGACUUACCUUAUCCAGGAACAAUCUUGAUAAUAGGUUUACUUCAUGUUGUCAGUCAACUUUAUAAUCCACUACUUUGACAGCUCAAAAUUUCCUCAGAUUGUGAAAACUUUAAAUGUUAAAAUAAUGUGGCAAAGCACUAGAUAAGUAGAUACUAUAUCUCUUCUCCUUGCACUUUUGAUAGCUUAAAUGGACUCAUAAUUUCCAUAAAACCAUUGAUCAUCUCAAAAGAAAAUAACCACAUAAUUUUUUACCAAAUCAACAACAGAAAUGUUUCAACCAACAACAAAACUGAAAAACUUUACCUGAUAGUCUACAGCUUCCAUGACCUGGACUAGUUAUAUCCAUCAAUAACAUGACCUCCAUAUUUCAUCAGCAAUUUUAUGGAUCAAAUUAGAAGUUACUCUAGUCCGAAAAAGUCGGGAUAGUCCUUGAUCACUAUAAUAUAGAUAGCACUAGCAGAUAACCAGCCAUUUCUACCUCAUGUCAUCCGAAUCAUUAACACAAGUUUUUCUGGUGUAUUAAGUACCCACAUAGCCCUUUAAAGAGAUUCGAUUCAAAUAAACGAGGCAGCUACAACUACAAAUAAGAACACCUGCAAUUUCAACAGCUUUGCAAAGUCUACCUUCAAUUUUAGCAUGAGAAGUUCCAGCUCCACAUAAGUUCCCAUCUAAACCAGUUUCCCCAGUAGUGAAGUUACAUGAUUUAUUACACGCAACAGAUGCCUGCACUCGGCCGAUAAAAGAUGACUCCAGCUGUUUGUGAAGAAUCGGCGAUAGCCUUUGUGCCAAAACAAGAGCACCUCCCUAGAGAAAUUUGAUAUCUGAAUCCUAAAUUGGAUGACUAAGAACCACAAAGUAAGAUAAUUACCUGCCAAAACGAGUAGCAACCAUCAACCAACUUAUUUACUCGCCCUUGAAAACCACACUCCACUCCUUGACGAGAUGCUACCCAGUCCUAACCAUACAUCACAUACAGAUACCCUUAGGACUCGAAAGUUUCAAAGCAGCAUCAAUGCCUAAAAGAUAAGAUUAAUGCAAUGAAGAACUCAAAUCAAAGCUCACAGAUAUCAAUUAACAGAUAUGAUACUAGAAUUUGUGACUCAAAGUUUCUGGGAACAAUAUAGUGGAUGACAUCUGUUACGACUACAAGAAAAUUUCACUAAGCUAAAUCGUGUGCAAAUAAGGCACAAAUAUUUAACACUUCUAUUCCUGGAUAAACUUUAUAAGUUGAUCACAGAAUCAGCAUGCAUUUGCACUUAUCAAUAGGGAACCAUUUCAUAAUAAUUAGUCAAUUACCAACAACAGAAACGGAUGCUGGGAGAUGGUGCAAGGUCAAGCAAUAGAUUAUAUAUAUAUGUAUGUAUGUAUGUAUAUAUAUAUAUAUGUAUAUAUAUAUAUAUAUAUGUAUAUAUGUAUAUAUAUAUAUAUGUAUAUAUAUAUUUAUAUGUAUAUAUAUAUUCUCAGAAAUUAGAAUAUGAGAAUAGCUACUGAAGCUUAUAAUGGUGUAUAGAUUUCUAACAACUUCAUAUACUAGGAUAAGAUAUAUAGCAUGAAUUGCAGGCAGAGCUUGCUCCAUGCCACCAUGUGCCACUUAUUAGCGAUGGCAUGGGCAGUAAAUAUCUUAUAAAGCUAAGCAUGCAUAGGCAUAAUUUAGGACAUGUGCCAAGGCAUGCAUGUUAAAAUAAUGGCUGCAAGCACACCCUCUAGUCAUUUAUCUUUGUAUGUUUGUGUGCACAUGAUAUAAAAUUCACAGUAAUCUCUUGAGCUUCACAUAAGCCACAUCCAGGAAGUACAAUCUCAUAAUGAAUUCUGAUCAUUUAUCUUUUUGAACAUUUGUUGCAAGUUAUUUAUUACUUAUUACAUACUUCACAUAGUGGAGAUGCAUAAUUAAAAACUUUGGCAGUAUGCAGAAUUCACAACACAGGCUAAAUCCCUAAGGUACUAAAUUGACAGCUAAACCAAAAAAUGGCAGGCAUUAUUCUAAAUUUACAAUUAAAAAGAUUCUGGACUAAAAUGCAUGGCAACAUAAAUUGAGAUUAAGCAUCAAGAGCAAAUGAGAAACUUCUUACAACUAGACUAGGCAAAUCCAGCCUAUCAGCCUCAUUAAUCAGAAUCAUUGCAGCCAGCCCACAGAAUGUGUACCUUUAAGAAAAACAAUGCAUUGGGGACACAUAUAUAACAUACAAAAAGUUCUAAAAGGUUCUGAACACAAAAUGGCAUAGGCAAAACUAAAACUAAUAAACUUAUAAAAGAUAUAUACCCGCCAUGAGCUUCUGAACCAGGCUCUCCAGCAAUACCACCUUCAUAUGUUUGACAGCUGAAACAAACAGAAAUUUGAUUGCAACUGCAUUUCCAUAAAUUGAGGGGAAAAUAGAAGUAGAGAACAGUAAAGAAACCAAAAAUUAAAAGGCAAAAAGCUUUGUUAUGAAUACGGAACUGGUAAAGUACUUGAAUAUGGUAUCGCUGUGACAAAUUAAUGGUGCAUCACAAUAUUCAUGUCCAAAAAAGGUGUUAGUAAAGUACUUGAUUAUGGUAUCGCUGUGACAAAUUAAUGGUGCAUCACAAUAUUCAUGUCCAAAAAAGGUGUUAUUACCAUGAAGCUUUCAAUAUUUUACAGGUAUACAUGUGCAGAUCCUGACUUAUGAAUCACUUUGAAAACACAGACUGAAGCAUGAAAAAUCAGUACCUUGAUUCGCAAUAUAGAUGAGUUAGCAAUGCAUAUAAUGAUUGCUAUUCUCCUGAGUGGCACUUCAACCCAACAAAACAGAGGCCACAGCAUCUAUGCCUCAUCACUUCUGUUGUUGCUUAAAACUCCAUCCACAAGUCAAUGAUGUAAUUGUACUUGUUUAUAAGGUGAAGCACCACUAUCUUGCAUAUAUUCAUUGAGUGAUAAACCAUAAGCAUUUAUUAUUUAAUUGGUUUGCACUUUCAACCUCAAGGCAACACAUCCUAUUUUUGAUGUCUAAAGAUUGAUAGAGUUUUUAAUAGCAUCAACUACUUUGAUUAUAGAUGUAAAAUUUUCAAACAUAUGGUGGCGAGUCACUGAGCGUGAUUGAUGACAUGACUAAAGAAUAAACACAUAGACACAAGUUCGAACAAAGAACCAACAUUUGAUUUCCUAGAGGCUUUAGGUUCUUGUUAUUUGCAGCCUAUAAGGUAAUAUUCAGAGACAUGAAAGCCAUCAAAAGGUUCAAUCAAAACCAUAAAGAACCCUAAAGGAAACCCCAAUGCAUACAAUCUAAUUCUUUAAAAUUUCAAGUAAAAAGGACUAGCCUCAAGAUGUAAUUUCCGAGAUCUUUUACCAGCUCAACAUCCAGAACAUUGAGAAUACUAGCAACCUGGUUUCACAAAGAGUUGAGAAGUGAUUCAGACAAAGGACAGUGGAACAAAAAAAGGUAUGCAUUGCUGAAGCUAACCGAGAUUGCAGUGUAGCAAGCACGAACAUCAAUUUCACCUCCAUCAUGCAUUCUGACAAAUAAAAAAUGCUUGUCACUAGAAUAGACAAAAUUAUCAGUAAUAGAUAAUAACGAAGCAAACAGAUUAUUACAUAACCAAAGAAGAGUCAGUUUGUUUGUCCACUGUUUUCCAAAAUAUUCAUGGCAAAAUUUCACAUCAGAAUAUCAAACUCCAGAACCUGUUCCUCAAAAUUGCAAUACCAAAGUGCAAGAUGACAAUUGAUUUCAAGACAUCAAAACUACCCAAGAGAACCUAGAUUCAAAGGAAAUAAUUCAAAUAUAUAUAGAGAAAUUGCCUUAAUGUGACUUGUUCAUGAUCUCCUGCAGAUUUCAAUUUCUACCAACCAGGACAAAUUAAUAAAACCAAAAUAAUUCUGAAGAAACCAGUUUAUAAAUUGUAGAAGCACCUUGGAAUGAAGACUGGAUCAUGAUUAACAGUUGAAUAACUUCUAAUACUAUACCCUUUGAUUGUCACAGAGACUAUGUUGGGACAGUAUGUAUGGUUCCUACAGAUACAUUGCACCACAAUACUCAGCCGAUAGAGAUUGAGUAUCUAAAGCACUUCAUCCAAAGUUCUUAAGCACAUGACACCAAAGUUCGACUUGAUUGGAUGUUUUUAUAAUCCAAAAAUGAUCAUUUUUGUUGUUUCUACCAUACAUUUAAUGCUUAGUGCAAAGAGGUACACCUCAAUACUUAGGCGAGAAAAUUUGGGGCCAUAGACUGCAAGAUCCAAAGAGCAUAAGCCACAUAACAUGAAAACACAACUUUUUUAGAAUAUGAGAUUGACAAUAGAGGCUGCCAUCAAGUCAAAUCAUUUAGCAUAAUCUUCAUGUCUUGUAAAACCCAAAAUUUUUCUGCUAUUACAACCAAAUAUUUAACACUUCAGUGUACAGUUUAAACAUAUGAUAUCAAUUGUUGAAUCUGCUUGUACAGGACUGAAGUGAAUAUAUGUACAAGGGUGUUUCUAGGGUAACUCAAAAUCAAAAUGCUGAUUCAGCAAUAGCUUUUUAAGAGAAAAAAAACAUUUGAACCAUGUUUUAACAUAUCAAUCAUACUGGCAUGCAAUGUUUGCAAUACCGUACCGUACCGCCUGUACUGGUCCGUCAGCAAAUCGGCACGCGGACCACUCGCUACCAAAUGGUAUCAUGCAUUUGCUCCCAUGUUGGGCGAUACGGGGCUGUACCGGGCGGUAACAGUCGAAAUUUUGAUCAUUAUCUACCUGUACUGGUUGGUACCAAUCGAUUUCAACAAGAUACUCGAUGAUAUACUUUCGACCGGUACUCAAAGAAAUACUAGUCAAAUUUAUGCACGGAAGGGGAAGCCAGUGGAUGAUUUUGAGCAGAUGCGAUAGAGCCUACACGAUGUAAACACAGAACAAAGCUCACUGUAUUCACAACCGUUAUAUUAUGGAGAAUCUUACGGCUAAUAGCAGUACGGUGAUAGUCGAUCAUACUUCUCUAAGCAACAGUAUGAUACGGAGCAACAGUAUGAUACAGAGCAACAUACCAGUAGCAAAAGUAGUUCUGACAUUCACUAAUACAUGCCUCAGGAGCCGCCUCGGACACAUGAUUCAUGACGAUCAAUAUAUGACCAUUACCACAUUGAUGCACCAAUGGUAUACGGUGUAUCAAUACACUAUCUUGUGGGAUCAAUUUCAGGAUUGGGUCCGACAAACAUAUCAUAUUGAUAUACAGAUACAUAGGAUCGAGGACCCCGAUCUACCACUCGUGGAGGCCUGUCGUUCAUUUUGGUGGUAGAAUAAGAUAUAUCUACAUAUAUAGUUAGUUAAUUCAUUGGAAUCUUAGAGUUCAAGUUGUAUGCAAAAUAAUCUAACAAUUCAAAUAAUUUUUCUGUAGAUAAUUCAAUAUUAGAAGGACGAUCCGGAAUGGACCGAAAUUGUGAACCUUGCACAAGACUACUCUUCAAAACUUGAAAAAGAUAUGUGGCACUAUUCUUACCUAAUUUACAUUAGUUUUACUUAAACUAUAUUAAAUGUAUAUUUAUUUCUAACUUAAAAACCCUAUCUUAACUCUUUUUUUUUAUUAUUCAGGUAUUUUCAGAGGGUUUUAUGCCUAUUUUAGGCGGAUCAUACCGAGCAAAGCUCAAUACACCGAUACGAUACGAGAUUAAGAACCUUGCUGGUAUGUACAACCUAUAUUUGUUGGGCCAACCAAGCACCAACAACCAGAACCAUAAGCCUGGAGCUACUCAGUACAUCAUAUUUGUUCUUUUUUCACUGGUACCAAGCAAUGCAAAUAAGAAUAGCACUUAAUAUCUAGGUACACCAGUCCAACCAAUUGCCAAAAGGGUAAAUUGUACAAUAAGAGAAUGAAAAGAUCACUUGACACAAGCUUCAAUGUUCUCUUUCAUAUACACAUCAUGCAAAUUACUUCCUUGCAUCCAAGUAUGACUGAGAAAUUAUAAAUGAACCAAACCUGAAUGCACCGGAAGAAUCUUUCAUCCGCAGCAAAAACUUAAGCAGAUUUGCUCUGAUCAGACAAAAGAUUCUGAAUUCUGUUAGAUUCUACUUAAAUGUCAUAUGUGAACAAAAAGCAACAGAAGCUGUAGAGUUAGAUCCGUGACCUAUUUAUAGAUGACAAUGCCAUGUCACUUCCCAAAGUAACAAGUGUGUUAACAGCAGCAUAAGUUGUUGCAAGAUGAGGCAUCUAAGGAAGUAAGCAUUUAGUUAAUGCUCAGAUAAUCUAAAAGAAUGGUGAUUCUGAAAAUAGAAAUAGAUUUGUCCAUGAAGUUGUCACAGAUAUAAUCAAGACAUCAAUGAUGAGCCUCACAAUAAUUGCAGAUUAGUCAUCUGUUUCAGAUUCAUCACAGACAACAAUGAAAUAAUUGACGAUUAACUAAAAGUUCAUCUUGGGAUCCAACUUUACCUGAAUCUCCCUCAUAAUUAGGAAAUUGUUCUCUGGAAAAUUUCUGCCCUUAAAGAUUCUAAAAGUACUUUGUUGAUAGAUUUUGUGAGAGUCAGUCAAUGCCUUGUGGAUAAAUGUAAAAGCCAAAAAGUUUCCACUGCUAUGUUCCUCAAUUUGAGGAACACGAUCUGCAACAUUCUCACCCAACCUCUACACGUGAAGUUGAAAAGAAAGAUGAUAAAGCUCAAAGUGAUCCUUCAACAUGAUCCCAGCCAGCCACUCUGAUGGCUCCAUGAGUUUGACGAGCAGGAAGUUGAUGCAGAGCAGCUCUCCCACAUUUGGACAGCUCACAGAAGGGCCUUUCAAGUUACAUUGUAUUUUCCUAUUAUUAUUAGAUGUAUUUUUUUCCCAUUUCUCAUCACUAUUUUAGAUCAUGUAUAGAAACAUACUUUGAGUUAAAUACCUAUUUGAAGUCCUAAUUUUGGUUUAUAAACAAGGCUGACAGGGUCCAUAAGCCAUUAAAUGACAUGUCCAGAAAAUUUUACACCAUUCUUCAGAUAGAAAUAUGUGGGAUUCCUAAAUUUCAAAAAACUCUCUUUUGAUAUGUUAUUUUUGUUUACUAUACAAAUGCUCUCUUUUCUUUUUCAUCCUUUGGGAAGUCCAUUAUCCUCAAACUGAUUAAUAUUACUGAUAACAGGGUCAUCUCCUAUUGUUUUUUUAUCCCUACAUUCCUAAAGUGUUCUACUGCUCCUGAUUAUAGCUGCUUGUUUAAUUUUCUCAUUGCACUUGAGCAACAACCCUAAAAAUCAUGGAAUAUGAGUUCUAUACACAUAAUAUGAAGUUAUGAACACCAAUUAGUCUGCUGCUAUCAAGAUGAGACCUCACUGCAAGUUGCAAACCUUCUCUUACAAGGGCUGAAGUUCUUAGGCAACAAAAAGUCUCCAUAUGGGACAACAUGGAAGCAGCAAACUUCAACUUUAGUAGCAGUCUAAAUCUAUGGCCUCAAGUAACAUCCCUAAUGUCUUCAGUAAGUCUCUUGUAUCUUCAAUCUAUUCACUUGAAGACCAAGUUAUACUGAUCGCAAGUCUAAAAGUAGACAUUGAUCCUAUCCUUUAGACUCCAAAAGGCCAUAAAAGAAAACAUUUUCUAAAUUCUGAAUACAUGUAUAAAUAAAGUCCUAGCAAGACUAGACCAAAAAAAUGAGAACAAUGCCCCUGGUCUAAAGAGAAAUAGACCUCGAUAAAUCAAUCCAAUCAUCAGUGACUCAAUUGCACAAAAGCAUACUCUACGCUCAAUCCAAAAUAUAUAAUUAUGUUCCACCCUUUUCUUAAAUUUAUCCUUCCUUCUGCUUAAUAGGCUAGUCCAUUCAAUUGCAAUAAAUAAGAUGAAUUUCAGUUAUACAAGGUAUGAAAGUCAAGUUCAGCUAUCUUUCCCAGUGUUACAGACUUACAGUAAAGCAUGCAUUGUUCCUUUGUAAUAAGAAUGCACUGAAUCUUGCUCAAGCCAUACAUGUCAGGAUUUUAAUUGAGGUCAAUAUUAUACAAGGAUGGCACUGAUGACAUUUCUAGUAUAAUAUCCAAGAAUUUCUAUGCCCUGAACUUGUUCCUCAUUCACAAUUUCUUGAAUCACAACUUUCUCAAUCAGAAUGCUAAUUAGAUAUUUGCCAUAGUUGAAGGAACUCACAUAAUAUUCAAUAAUUUUCUACAUAUUAUGUGCAUACAAUGCAACUUAUAAAUUAUAAUAGAUAUUUUUACUGCAGUACAACUCAAAUUAUACUAGAGUUCAUUUCAUCAUGCAUAAGCUAAAAAUACACUGGCUGUUUAGAAUUUUAAAUGUGAUUGUACAUCCGAUAGACAAAGAAGCAAUUGAAAUAAGCAAGAACAAACCUGCCCUGGUCCACCACCAUAUCCACCAUAUUUGUCCUGUAAACCAUUCAGAGUAACAAUUUUAAAAAGGCAUUUGCAACCUGGCCAAACAAGCAAUACAAUUUGAUCUUUGAAGAUAGAGUCAUUAUAACAAUUAGAACACUCAAUCUUUCACCAACAACUAAAUUGUAUUUAUUCAUAGAUACCGAUGAAUAAAGUGCCAUUAACUUCAUAUUAGAGCUAAUAAUUGAAGAAUUCUUUACUAGCUUAAUAACAGGUUAGGAUACUGCAGAAGAACAAAAGGGAGAAACAAUUACCCAUACGAGGGAAGUGUAUUCUACUAAAAAGCCACAGAACAAGCACUACUAGAAGGCAAUGAAUGAUUAAAUAUUUGAUUCCAGCUUAAAAGUGUAGUUUGCCUUUGCUUAAGUACCCUGAAUUUAUGAUAAUGCUGAAAACCACAUAACUCCAAUCCUACUUCUUAUACAAUGCUAAAAGAAUUACUCUAAGCAGGAUUAAAUUGAACUUUUUGGUUUAGAAGUAUUUUCCCUUUCUGUCACGAAUGGUCGUCGCGCACCCGCAAUAACUCCGUUCAACGAACUGUUCUAUCACGGACUUAGCUAGUUUUGCUUAAGUCGUGCGGCACCCUUGCGUGUCCGUCCGCAAAGGUCAGCCUCCCCGAAGCCUCCCAUGGUCCCUUAGGACCCACAAAAGAGAGAACAAGAUAGAGAAAACGUCUCACUCGGGAUCCACAAGCAAACAUCUCCGAAAACACUUCAUAGACAAUGCAAAUUACAAACAUACAUUAAAAGCUCUGAACAGUUGCACAACAAAGGGUAAAAUGGUCCAUUACAGACCGAAAAUCUCUCACACGUGUCCACAUGACACAACCUUUAUUUACAAGCCUAAAGCGGCCACCAACCUAACUAAAAUGGGACUAUUAAGCCUUCGACCGUCCCUCUACAUGCUGUGCAGAGCAUGAACAUACCAAAAGACACGGACAUACAUAAGCAUUACAUCAAACAUCCUGUUUCGAAGAUUGUCUGUGACAUUCUCCCCCACUUAUUCCUUCGACGUCCUCGUCGAAGCCUUUGUCAACACUGCAACUCCUCGCCUUUGCUGAGUCUUCAAUCUUCUGCUCUAGCUGCAAUGCGCCUCUUGGCUCCCAACUGCUCUCCGCUGUUGUUUUUGAGUAGUCGAACCUUUGAUCCGCCAUGCUGCUUCAACUCGCCAAUGACUCUGACUCUAGUGUGGGGUUGGUUGAGUUGUGUUGAUCCCUGUUGGUUCCUGCGGAUCCUCCAGAUGACGGAAAAGACUAUCCUUACUACGUCAGUCUCUCAAAUGCCUCAUGCUGCUUAAACUAGGUGGAUGCUUAUUGGAGCUUUAACGAGCAUCAUCUCGCAAACUUCUGAAGUUUUGGGUCCUUCCUCCAUAAAAUUUGCUCAUUGACUCUUCUUUCAUUUAGUUGUCACAUCCAAGUAGGUUCGCAUCAUUUCCGCUUUCGAUUGGUAUUUCGUUGGGAAAUGAAGUAGACAAUAUACUCUCAGUAACACUGAUCACCGUUGGUGAGGAUUUGACAACUAUUGUCUUCCAUUAUCUUCGAAGGGUCUUUGAACAUAUGCAGAGCUCCUCUACUGGAUAGAUUAAAGAAUUGGGGUACUCGGUUUCACCCAUUCUCUUAAGAGUUGAGAAGGCAAAGGUUACUUGACUUCGCCCGCCUCCUCGAGGUUGUACUCCAUGCAUCGAGCUGGUUACUGGCCUUCGCCUGCUCUUUGCUCACACUUCUGAAGCACUUGAAGUGUUUGCACUCCUUGCGUUGAGUAAGUUACUGUGAUUCACCUUCUCAAUGCCAUCGAACUUCUGGAAUGCAGGAAGUUUGCACCCCAACUUAGAGUAAUUCUCUCAUAGGUUUGGUCGCCUCUGGGAUUGUACCGUCUUCUCCAUCAACCUUGCCGCCUACUCCACUGAGUAGCAAAGGUACAGCACCGCGUACUGCCUACUUCGUUCCUUGGUCAUGCACUCUUGCCUGACCCGAAGUCCUUCACUUUCGGCUAUCUUGAUAAGAAACUCGUUGACAGCGGUCUUACGAAGUUCCUUUGCCUCUGCCCUUCAGCCUUGUCACGGUACUUGGAGUUUGCCUCUGCAUGCUCCGCCUCCUCGGCCCCUUUCACGAUCAAGCGCUCUCCCUCCAUGAGAGCAAGGGAUCAAUGAUUUUCACGAAAGUCUUGCCUCUGUGGUACCAUGACGCUACCAUGCCCAUGGCCCUACUAUCCAUCGCCUCGCAUCUGCAUCCCUUUUUGUCACAAUCAGUAUAUAUGUCUCUGUGGCACUCCUCCGAGUCCACCUCCAUUCUAACUGAUGCUUGAUUUUGGGUAGCUAAGUCCCUCUGGACUCAUCGUCGCUUCCUCGCCUCUUUCGACCCCCUGCUUCAACACCUCUGUGUUUUCCAAGCAGCUCCCUUUGGUCGAUGGAAAGACAGACUGCAACUCUCAUGCAUGGCCUCUGCCAUCGCAUUAUAGGGUUUGCACCGAUUCUGUUCUCCUUAGCUUCCUUAGUAGCAACGUUCGCUUACUCGACCUUGUCCUCUGACUUGCUAGGCUCCCUUAAGCGAAUAUGAGCUCUAGAGCAGUCCAACUCUCCAGCUGCUUCGAUCAUACCUCUGUAUGAUCAAGUCCCUCCCAUGGGACUCACUGGUACUUGCAUUCGAACUUUUCCCUUGGUGGAACAUAGCCCCCAUAUGCUGAUGACCAAGGUUUUCAUCCGAUGCAAAAUUCGAUGCACGUACGGAAGACCUGCCUCUGCGGUACCAUGGCCUUCACUCCUUGAAUCCAUAGCCCUUCUUACCGUCGUGUUGUUCACCGAAGUGGCGCUUCCAGUAGCUCCCGAUCAUACCUCCAUAUGAUCUAGUCCCUCACGGGACUAGGUUGUGUGUAUCGCAUUGCCACGAACUGUUCCACCACGAUCCGCUGCACCAUGUCGCCUCCUGGUGACAUCUCUAUUGCAUUCUGAUCCUUGUGGGAUGAACUCGAAUUGUGAACCCUUCAUGUGUGGCCUCUGUCAAUACAUCGCAGGGUCUCUUCCACCUUCGAUUUUGUUCGCUCCUUUGGCAAUCGACCUUUAUCCACCGACUCUUGGGUCACACCUAGAUGAAGCACCGCUCUAGGACAGUCCGUCGCCUAGUAGCUCCCGAAGUCCCCCGACUUCACUGCAAUUAGUGCACUAUUGUCUGGAUCCUGGGCCUCUACCCCUACCAGCACAAUCUUCGCUGCGCACAGCUUCCUUCAUAGCAAAUUGAAUGGCAACACUGUGGCAUAUUCUUCAAGAGUACCCGCCUCUGCGUCCUCUUGCCCCGUGCUAAGGCCUUCUGAACCCAACUUCGCCUCCGCAAAUUGAGUCAUCUUAGUUCUUCCAUCAAAUGCUCCUCCGAGAUAAGGUGCAUGUGCCCAGAACUCCCUUCGUCUUUGGCACCAUGCAAGCUGAGUCCGCUCCGUUAGAAUGAAUGACCCAUGGAACAACAUGAUCCUGCUCUUGCCUUUGCAAGAGUUCAUGUCCUUGACCUUUGUCCAAGGAAAGCACUAUGCCUCCGCUCCAUGUUCCAUCUGCUAUGCUGGCUCCCUUCAUGCGGCUUGGGUACUUCGCCAAGUUACACCCAAGUUGCUCCGCUCCUCGUUUUUGCAUUGAGUUGAUGGUGGCCCUCGCGCCCACCAUUCCACGGGUCAGCCCUCCCUUGAGUCCGAUCUCCAUAUCGACUUCAAGUGUGCCUUCAUUUGUGUUGCUUUGGGUCGCUCCCCCACUUGAUCUCGCAAUGCAUCUACCAAUGCAUUCUCUCGAGCGAGAUCAUGCGACGACUCCUCGCCGCUUGCUCAAUCCAUUGAGCUUUGUGGAGUUGUUGUUUGUUGAGGUACUCCUCCUCAACUUGUGAGGUCCGUCCCACAUGAUUCUCCCUCUAGAGAGCCGGGACUUAUCCCUCCUGGAUAACCGUCCCGUUGGAGCAACAUCUCUCUUCGUUUCGGAGACCACUAUCCCCUUGGACUACUCCGAUCUACUGAACAAACUGUGCAUUGUUCUGCCUCCAGCAAACACACUUGCUAGAUUGCGACUCCACGUCAAUACAACUCCCGCUGCACCACUCAAGGCCUAGCAACAUGCUAAACUCGUUGCACACUUCAGCCUCCUACGGACGUAUCCUUCACAUGCCGAAGAGAAAGUUUCAAUGCUCCAUGGCGCAGAGUUUCGGUCGCCUUGGGAUGGCCGCGAAUAUUCCAUCAUCCGCACACAAGCCCAUGCAUGAGUACCGAAUUCUUUGAGUUAGCAAUUCCCCUCACCUCUGUGAGCUUUGCACAACUCUUUCGGUCGCUGAGCAACUCAGUCCAUCUUAGAUGGUCUCAUCCUUUACCAAGCGCCUCGCUUGCCUUGAGCACCAUCAAGUAUAAUUGUUCGUAGCUCAAACUCAGUCAUCCCAACCUUUGUGCGCUCCGUAUUCUUCCAAGCUUGUCUGUUCUCGUGGUGCCUCUUGCGCGAAGGGUUGGCCAUUCCUCUGAAUGCUAAUCUCAGAUGCCCGCUCCUCCGAGCAACUCCUUUUCCCUACAUCUCCAUGCCUGUUUUCCCCCAAACGGUCACGCGUGUGCUGACUGCCCUCAACGUAGCCCCGCUAGGUCCCCCACGUUUGCAUGCUAAGUGUUUCUAUGAGUGCUUGUCCCGCUCUGAUACCAUAUGUCACGGACUUAGCUAGUUUUGCCUAAGUCGUGUGGCACCCUUGCGUGUUCGUCUGCAAAGCUCAGCCUCCCCGAAGCCUCCCAUGGUCCCUUAGGACCCACAAAAGAGAGAACAGGAUAGAGAAAAUGCCUCACUCGGGAUCCACAAGCAAACAUCUCCGAAAACACUUCAUAGACAAUGCAAAUUACAAACAGACUUUAAAAGCUCUGAACAGUUGCACAACAAAGGGUAAAAUGGUCGAUUACAGACCGAAAAUCUCUCACACGUGUCCACAUGACACAACCUUUAUUUACAAGCCUAAAGCGACCACCAACCUAACUAAAAUGGGACUAUUAAGCCUUCAGUCGUCCCUCUACAUGUUGUGCAGAGCAUGAACAUACCAAAAGACACGGACAUACAUAAGCAUUACAUCAAACAUCCUGUUUCGAAGAUUGUCUGUGACAGUUCGUCGCUCUCAUCUACAUUACAGCUGCUUGGCAGCAUGUUUUGUCUUGGUUUUAAGUCCUUUUGCUUGUAAAAAUGUAAGUUCGAACAAGUUGCAGCGCUACAAAGCGACCGCUCACCGAACCGAGCAAAACAGCCCAAAACAGCUCCGUUUUCGUGUGCCACGGGUUGUUUUCUGCAGUCCGUUGCCGCACGCGAAACGUCAGCCAUCUCAGCACCCUGGAACCACCCGGGUGGCACCAUGGGGGAUGGGGCUUCGGUAUAGUGUCGGGCGUUGAACAACCUUUCGCAAGUUUGUAUGUUACCUUGACGGGAACUUGUUGUCGCGCCCAGCACCCGGUGAGCAACUGUUCGUUUAACCCUCUAAAGUCCUUGUUUUCCCCCUCUCCCUCUUUUCUCUUGUGUACGCAAGGUGCUCGCUGAAUUGCUUGUAAAGCUUCCCCUUUUAGCGAGACGUCGGGACUUGUCCGUCGCUCGUUCUUCGAACUAAUCAACUUUCUCUUUUACAGGUCCUUCGGGACCUGCGAGAGGUUGCAAGUGGGCUGAUCUUUGCGGACGCAAAUCACAAGGGCGAAGCACGACUUAGGCAACGCAAGCUAAGUUCGCGUCUUUGCCGCAAGGGUGCCUCGUGACUUAGGCAAUGUAAGCUAAGUUCGCGUCUUGGCCGCAAGGGUGCCUCACGCCUUAGGCAAUUCUAGCUAAGGUCGUGACAUUGUGGUAUCAAAGCGGGCAAGCACUUCGAGCGAGUAGCGAAGGAACUUCGCAACUUCGCCAUGACAAAGCAUCGUGGCGAAUCAAGCAAGACGGGGCAAGCCGGACCCUUGUCCCAAGCAGCCGCAGGUGGGCUGCAAGUGCACACUCGCUCUCAUGCUGUUGGAGCCGCUCAAGAGGAGCGCGAUAGCAAACAUGAUGAGUGAGAAGUUGGCUACUCUCCGCGAGCGGAGGAGGCGCAAUCUGGAGCGCCAACCGGGAAAAAGAGUCACAAGGAGAGACUCACAACGGCGGAAACCCGCUUGGAUGUUCUUGAAGCGAGCUUGGAGGAACUCUACCAUGGCCAACGAAGGCUUGUUGAGGUAGAGAGCUCGCAAGAAGAAGCAGAGUCCAGGAUCGACAAGGUUGAGGCCCAAGUCGAUCGAUUGUUAGAUGACACCAAAGACUCCGUGCAACACCUGUAGGAAGUUGUGGCGGAACUCACUUCAAGGAUGACCAUACUCACAAGAGCACUAAAUGCGGGAGGAAGCAACACCCGCGUUGCACCACCACAAAACUUGAGGGCACCCGAGCCUCAUGGUUAUGGAGGGGCUAGAGAUGCCAAAGAGCUCGAGAAUUUCCUGUUCGACAUGGAACAAUACUUUUGAGCUACGAGGCCCGAUUCUAAAAAAACCAAAGUUUUAAUAGCAACAAUGUAUCUGAACGGAGAUGCAAAACUUUGGUGGCGAACCCGUUGGGAGGAGAUCCAAUAAGGUCGAUGUCAAGUUGAGACAUGGGAGGACUUGAAGCGGGAGUUGAGAACUCAGUUCCUACCGGAGAGCACAGAAUUCGUCGCAAGAAGGAAGUUGAGACAACUCCGCUAGAGUACUUCCAUUCGAGACUACUUGAAAUAAUUUUCUGCGCUAAUGCUGGACAUACAGGACAUGUCCGAGAAGGAUAAGCUGUUCAGCUUCCUCGAUGGUUUGAAGCCAUGGGCUCAACAAGAACUUAAUCGAAGGAAUGUCAUCGAUGUGGUCGGGGCAAUUGCUGCCGCAGAAAGGCUCAUUGACUUUGUUUCCUCUGAAGACCCGGGAAGAAGAAACGAUCUUUAGGCAAUCGCCCUCCAAACUAUUCUCGAGGGAAGGAGAUCGGGGGCGAACAAAGGAAGAAGAGUUCCCACAAAGGGUCAAGCCCGAAGGACAAGGCCUCGAAACCUGACGGAUGCUUUCUUGUGCGGAGGGCCGCACAUAGUGAGGGAGUGCCCACAAAAACAGGCACUCAAUGCUUUAACAACUUCCAUCCACCCCCCCUAGAUCGGACAAGGGCAAGGCUGUCGCUCUUAGUUCGAGUAGUUCUGAAUCCAGCAGCGGCGACGAGUCGCAAGGACCCCGGAUGGGAGCAAUGCGUUUGUUGAACGCUAUGCGGGGUCAAGUGGGGGAGAACACGAAGACAAGGCUACAAAAAGCAGGAAGUGGUGAGCUGAUGUACGUAGACAUCAAGCUCAAUGGCCAAACGACCUGUGCAAUGGUGGACACGGGUGCUACACACAACUUUAUUGCCAAUCGAGUAGCAAUGUGACUUGGGUUGAUCUUGGAGAAGAGCCCAAGUCGAAUGAAGGCGGUGAACUCGGAGGCCAGGCGAAUCUCCGGGUUAGCGAAGGGAGUUCCUAUCAAGAUCGGAACAUGGAGCGGGAACACCAACAUGAUGGCGGUGCCACUAGACGACUUCCAAGUGAUUCUUGGAAUGGAGUUCAUGCGCGCGGCGAAGUUGGUGCCAAUGCUGUUCCUAAACUCCCUAUGUAUGAUGGGAGGUGACGACCACUGUGUGGUUCCCAUCUCUCGGAGAGGAACUAAGGAACCCCAACAUAUAUCGGCAAUGCAACUGAAGAAAGGGGUGCGAAAAUGUAAAUUAACAUUCGUGGCUGCUAUGAAGCUAGAGCCACUUGACGAGAAGGCCAUUCAUGACCUUGCUGUGGUGGCGAACAUCCUAAAAGAGUUCACUGACGUUGUCACCCGAGUUGCCGAAGACUCUUCCACCACGCAGAGGCGUGGAUCACAACAUCGAGCUGGAGCCAGGAGUGAAGCCUCCAGCAAGACCACCCUACCGCAUGGCCCCGCUAGAGUUGGCAGAACUCAGAAAGCAGUUAGGUGAACUGCUAAGCGGUGGUCUCAUCCAUAGUUCUAAAGCACCAUUCGGAGCUCCAGUUUUCUUCUAGAAGAAACAAGAUGGGAGCCUCCGACUAUGCGUCGAUUACCGAGCCCUCAACAAAGUGGCGGUGAAGAACAAGUAUCCCAUCCUGCUCAUCGCGGACUUGUUCGACCAGUUGGGCAAAGCCAAGUAUUUCUCAAAACUCGACCUUCGAUCGGGGUAUUGGCAGGUGCGCAUUGCUGAAGGCGACGAAGCGAAGACUACCUGUGUGACCAGGUAUGGAGCGUUUGAGUUCUUGGUGAUGCCUUUCAGCUUAACCAACGCUCCGGCCACGUUCUGCACUCUCAUGAACCAGCUAUUCAAGGAGUAUUUAGAUAAGUUCGUGGUCGUCUACUUGGACGAUAUCAUCGUCUACAGUCAAAUGCUCGAGGAGCAUGUCAAGCACCUUCGGACAAUUUUCAAGGUUCUCAGGAAGAACACUUUGUUCGUGAAAAGGGAGAAAUGCUACUUUGCCCAAAUGAAGAUCUUAUUCUUGGGGCAUCGAAUCGGUGAUGGCUCCAUUCGGAUGGACAAAUCAAAAGUGCAAGCGGUUGUGGAAUGGCGAACUUCAAAGAAAGUGCCAGAGUUGAGAUCUUUCCUUGGUUUCGUCAACUACUAUCGACGCUUCAUAGCGGGGUAUUCGAAACGUGCAACUCCACUGACGGAGUUGCUGAAGGAGCAGCCUUGGAAGUGGUCUGACAAAUGUGAAAUAGCAUUCCAAGAUCUAAAGGUUGCUGUUCUGGAAGAAUCGAUGCUCAAAUUGCUUGACUAUGGGGAGCCCUUCGAAGUCCAUACAAAUGCUUCAGAUUUCGCUAUUGGGGGAGUGCUCAUGCAGGAGGGUCAUCCGGUGGCCUGCGAGAGCCGCAAGCUUAACGAGACCGAGCGGCGGUAACCGGUGCAUGAGAAGGAAAUGAUAGCGGUGAUCCACAGUCUACGAGUUUGGCGACACUAUCUUCUCGGAUCACAAUUUGUGCUGAGGACAGAUAACAUCGCUUUGAGCUAUUUCUAAACUCAGAGGAAACUCUCCCCAAAGCAAGUAUGAUGGCAGGACUUCUUGGCUGAAUUUGAUAUGGUAAUGGAGUACAAGCCUGGAAAGGCAAAUGUCGUGGCCGAUGCAUUGAGUCGGAAAGUGGAGCGUGUAAAUGCCAUACAAUUGGAGGGCAGAGGCCAAGCCAGUCAGUUGCACCUUGGCUCUCGUGGAGAGGGCCUUCUAUUUGCCGAAGAUGGGGACUGAUGUAGAGGAAUAUGUUCGAACAUGCCUCACUUGCCAACAAGACAAGGUGGAACAACAGAAGCCGAUGGGACUUUUGGAGCCGUUGCCCAUACCAGAAAGGAUGUGGGAGAGCAUAUCCUUGGACUUCAUAUCAAGCUUGCCCGCAGUAGGGAGACUCGGAUCGAUACUCGUGGUGGUCGAUCGAUUUUCAAAGUAUGCAACUUUCAUUGCUGCUCCCCUACACUGUUCAGCAGAGGAGGCGGCCAAGCUGAUGAUGAAGGAUGUGGUGAAGUAUUGGGGAGUCCCGCACAAUAUCAUAAGUGAUCGAGAUGCUCGGUUCUUGGGAUGAUUUUGGAUCGAGCUAUUCAAAUUGUUGGGGUCCAAGUUAUACUUCUUCACAAGCCUCUACCCUUAGACAGAUGACCAAACUGAAAGGAUAAACUCGCUCCUAGAGCAAUAUCUUUGGCACUACGUGAGUGCCAACCAACGAGAUUAGGUGAAAUUGUUGGACAUUGCCCAAUUCUCCUACAACUUGCAGCGGAGCUCUGCGUCCAACAAGAGCCCAUUCGAGAUCAUUACAGGACAACAACCGUCAACUCCUCAUACCAUGGCAAUCGGGUAUACUGGGAGUAGUCCGUCAGCCUACCACUUCACAAAGGAGUGGCACCGAAAUACAGAUAUUGCACGGGCUUACUUGGAGAAGGCGACAAAAAGGAUGAAGAAGUGGGCAGACUUGGGAGGGCGACUGCAGGAGUUCAAAGUCGACGAUUUAGUGUUGGUAAAGCUCCAACCAGCAUCACUACAAUUCUUCAGGAACAAAGUACACAAAGGAUUGGUGCGCAAGUAUGAAGGGCCCUUCCCAAUUAUCAGCAGGGUGGGCAACGUCUCCUACAAGUUACAGCUGCCGACGUGGCUCAAAAUUCAUAAUGUUUUCCACGCCAGCAACUUGAAAGCCUACCACUCAGAUCCGCAAGAUGCUUCCCGAAAUGUUCCAACUCGACCACCCCCCACUAGAGCCUCCUACGAAAAACGAGUUAAAACCAUUUUAACGGAUCGCAAGAUAAAGCUACCAAAUGGUGGUGAGCAGACCAAGUACUUGAUGAAGUGGUGAAAGCUUCCCCGAACCGAAGCCAGUUGGGAGCCUGAAGAGGCCCUACAACAUGAAGAAGCAGUCAUCAACAACUACCAACAAACGUCGACGAGGGCGUCAACAGUUUAAGUGGGGGAGAAUGUCACGAACGGUCGUCGCGCACCCGCAACAACUUCGUUCAACGAACCGUUCGUGGCUUUUGCAUGCUUGUACCGAGACAUGGCAACAUAUUUUGCUUUAGUUUUGUGUGUUUUUGCUUGUAAAAAUGCAUGUUCAAAUAGGUUGCAGCACUGCAGCUCGACCGCUCGCCGCGCCGGACCGAACUGCCCAAAAUAGCUUUGUUUUCGCGUGCCAUGGCUUGUUUUCUACAAGCCACAGCUGCACGCGAAACGUUAGCCAUCUUAGCACCCAGGAACCCCCCGGGUGGCACAGGCCUGGAUGGGGCUUUGGUAUAUUGUCGAGCGUUGAAAAAUCUUCACAAGUUCGCACGUUAACUUGAUGGGAACUUGCCUUCGCGCCCGACACCCGGUGAGCAGUUAUUUGUGGACUUGCAACUGUUCGUUCUACCUUCUAAAGUCAUUGUUUUCUCCUUCCUCUCUUUUCUCUCUUGCACUCAAGGUGCUUGCUGAAUUGCUUGUAAAGCUUCCUUCUCCCGAGACGUCGGGACUUGUCCGUCGCUCGUUUUCAAUCUAAUCAACUUUCUGUUUUACAGGUCCUUCGGGACUUGUACGAGGUUGCAACUAGGCUAAACCUUUGCGGACGCAUAUGUCGCAAGGACGCCUCAUGACUUAGGCAAUCCCAGCUAAGUCCGAGGAGUUGGCGCAAGAGUGCUUCACGACUUAGGCAACUUCAACUAAGUUCGUGAUUUUGCCGCAAGAGUGCCUCACGACUUAGGCAAUUCCAGCUAAGUCUGUGACAAUACGUUCAAAGAAUGUCAGCAAUUCGUCACCUUUGACCUUGUUAACAUAAACAAACUUCACUUAAUCCACUUUUGGAUAACCCUAUGAGGAUUUCUUAGUGUAACAACAAGAUAUCAAAUUACAAACAUAAACAAAAAGUAUUCAAAUUGUUUUAAGAAAAUCUUAGUAUUGCUUUGAACUUCAAUCCUCACAACACAGUCAAGAUCAUAAUCGUUGAGAUUUUGUACUAGAUACUUUCAUGUUAUCCCACAAUAACAGAUUGGAAUAUAACUAGUUUUUGUAAUUUGUAUAGGAUUUAUCCAACUUCAUUGAAAAGUGCAAUGGUAGCAACAAACUCUUUAUAUAACAUUAACAAAUAAUUUUUCAAAAGGUAACAGAUUUAUCUCAUUAUGACUGAUUUCUAGGAGGACUAUAAUGGAAGCUCAUAACUUGACUCAUUAAGUCAAUAAAAAAUUAUCUAUAUGUAGAAGUAAUAAAUAACAUGCAUGAGCUUUUGCUAAAAAGGUUUCCAGAAUGAUGAUCAAUGACACUGAUACAUAAGUAACUCAGAAGAUAAAGUCAUUUUAUGCCAAAAAGAAAUCUCAAGUAGAAUCUUAGACCUCACAGUGGGACAAAAAUUCCACCACACUGUCCUCAAGUUCUGAGUGGAGAGGUUCUCCCAGUAAAGCAAUUGAGUGAAUAAUCCAGUAGCAUAGCCAAGGUCGACUGCAAUUAUCAAUUAUAAAAUGAUUUAAAUGAAAACAAAAAAAUAAAGAAAUCAAAUGCUAUUCAAACGGAAAUGGUUAUGUAGAAAAAAAAAAACAUUCAUAAAUAUGUUACCAACACAGAAAAAUCCAUCUUACUUGGCAUCUAGCACAUGAUAGCUCGGUCCAAGAAGUCCGAGUCCUCUUGUUAAAAACUCGAUGUGUGUGUCACGCCAAAGCUCUAGCCUGCACUUCUACUGAUUUACUUGAAAGGUUCUUUCCAAAUUUUUGCUAGACCGAAGGACUGAAUUAGGACAUUCAAAUUAAAAAGAGAAAUUUUGAGGAAUGCAAAAAAAUUAUAAGCAUUAAAUAAGCAUUGACUACCAUGUUCUCUUCUUAAGUUAGAUGUCCUCAAUUUGUUCAAAGAAAAUAAAGAUAAGGACAAAAGGUGGGAAGUCCUUUUCUACAUUGAAGUGCGCUGAGUUUCAUAAGCAUAUUUACAUCAAAUACAUGCCACAUACACACCACAUUGGUAAGUAAACAGCAGAAGAUGUGUGAAUUUCGGGUUAUAAUGUAGUUCUCUGGAAGCAUGGGACUUCAGAUAUAGGCAGAUCAUGUUAAUGCACAUAAGCUGAUUUUCUUUUUAUUAUAGGUAGGCUUGAUGUCAAGCAGUGAGCACAAAAGACUUAAUCUUAUAGCAAAUAGUACCUGUGGUGUGUUCACUAAGAUGAAUUCUUCAAGCCUUAAUUCAAACAUAGGACAAGUAUAUUGAUUAUUUUCCAUUUACUUACAAAUAUCAAUAGUUGCCAACGAGAUGACUUUGGUUAUUUAUGUCAGUAUUAUAGAAUAAAUAACCUGUAUAUUUAAUGCAAAGCCAGCACUUUGGUUACAAUCUUCUCCACUUAAUGUCUUAAUGUGCUAGUCAUAGCUUGGAAUUAGACUGCUCGCGAGGACUAUUCAAGUAACCCUUUCCAAUUCGAGCCUCUCAUCGUGCUCAACACUAGGUUAUAACUCUGGUAGGAGCUUCCCUACAACCUUGUAAGACUUAUUGGUCUAGUUUCUUCUUAAAACGCUGGGAAUGAACCAUCUAUUCUCCCGUUAAGGAAUCUUAAACAUUAGAAACCACCACAAGAACCUAUUUCAAGUAAUAAUGGCUAACAUAAGAUGUUGUUCGUUCAACCAGAAUUAUCUUACUGGUUUGUUUCCGUCCAUGAAUCUUUUGCAACCUUCGAGCGACAAUAGCCUUGGACCAAGAUAAUCUUGUAUUAUUUGAUCUGACGUUCACAUUUUCAUGCAAAGAUAAAGAAACGGGCAAAGAAAUGUGGCUAAAUUCUUUGUCGUUGUGGUCGAACGUACUAGGGUUAAGAGUCUGAGCAACGGAUGACCUAUGAACUUUCUCGAGCAAUCACACCUGUAUGGGAAAAAGGAUUCCAGGUCGCAGAAGAUAAAUAAGGGUUUCCUAGCAAUGAUCGAAGUGGGGAGGACUUACAUGAAGGACUGGGUGUGGGGGGCGAUGCCACGGAGAAUCCGGUAGAUCUCGAAUACUUCCUCCUCCACCUUAAGCUGCUCCAGCUGCGUCACGGUGAGCCUUCUCGGCCCGUCCGAAGGGGAGGGAGGCGGGGAAGAGGUUGACGAUGAGGGGGGAGAAGACUCCAUGGCAACGGAACUAUCGCUUCUUGGAAGAGAACCACCGGCUACUUCGUUCAUCGCCAGUGGGUAGCACAAUUCAGCCGACCUUGCGUUUUGGAUGCUGCGUCACUGUCGCUUUAAAUGUCUCGCUUAUUAGAUCCGACGGAUACUAUUAACGCUCAGAUAAUUGUUUAUAAUAUUAUAUAAAACCUCAAUAUAAUUACCUAUUGGAUCCGAUAACCCACCCAGGCGGCGAUUAUCGGAUUCGGAAUUUUGCCUGUAAGGCUGCAAUAGUUGUUUCGAGCGUAAAACCCGACCCGACACGGCCCACUCUUUGCCACCGUUGAUUCCGCCUCCUUAUUCGACUCGAUGGACGAUUCUGAUGCGCUUUUCCUAUGGCUAUUUAAGCGCAUAGCCACGGCCGAUCCCAAAUCGCCGAGGGUCUGAUCGCCGCUCACUGUUCUCAGCGAAGGAUUCGAUCAAAGCUAUUGUAAGGCCCUGAAACCCUAAAUCUCCGAUUCCCUCCUCGAAUUCUCACCCAGUGCAUCUUCUUCUCCUGCAUUCACGUGAAUCUGUAAUCUCUGGAUGGGUAAUUCCUACAAUCUGUUGUUUCUUCCCGGGUUUGAUUUGCAUUGCGAGCUUUGGCACUGGAUUUGAUAAAUUGUUUCUUCUAUUACGCUGCCUGACGGUUCUUAUGCAUUGAGGUUUCGGAUUUGUUUAUGGGGAUUCUGUUUUCGGUAAUUCCAGAUUAACAUCGUUGAAGAAUUUGAGAGAAAGCUGUGUGCUUUCUUUCUUGAUUUCAUGUUUCGGCUAUUUGUUGGGUGUUUGCUUACACGGGAUCAGAUCGUCUAAAACAAAAUGUGUUAGCAACCAUCAUUAUAUGAUUGAAGUGGUUGUGGUGAUUGUUUUAAAGCAAAGGUUAUCUAAGGAUUAAAUUGUGAUUUUAUGCAUGUUGUUCUCUGGAUCACUUGCAAGGAAGGAUAUUCUACCGGUUAUUGAGUAAAAUUGCAGGUCUGAUCGAGUUAUGGGUUGGUAAUUUGCAGAAAAUGGCUGAAUCAAAGCCUGCCAUGAGAAAACCGGAGUUUACUAAGGUUAACCAGCUUAGGCCUGGUACUAGUGGCCAUACGCUCACAGUGAAGGUGGUGAGUUCAAAGACAGUGCUGCAAAAGGGGCGUGCCGCUGGUUCCCAGGUUCGUCAGAUGCGUCUAGCAGAAUGUCUGGUGGGGGAUGAAACUGGAAUGAUUGUCUUCACAGCCAGGAAUGAACAAGGUAGAUGUUCUUAUAUUAUGUGUAUGUACGUAUGCAUGUUUUAUGGUCCAGUAAGUUCACUUUGCGGUUGAGAUUGAAAAACGAAAAAAAAAAAAGAAAGAAAAUUGUUGAGCAACAAAAUGAGAAGUGUGAGAUUCUUGACAUAGUGUUGCUUCUACCUUGUCUCGUUUAUGAUGGUUGCUUUUCCUUCAAAUUUGCCAAACUGUAAAAUUUGAUCCGGCAAACAAUAAUUUCCAUUUGAGCUGCUUUUAAAGGGGCUCAUUCAUUAUCUUUAAGAAAUUAAAGGGAAGGACAGCAAGGG
RNAcentral lists this long non-coding RNA (59610 nucleotides) under Musa acuminata (dwarf banana). RNAcentral describes it as "long non-coding RNA (MACU_LNC001343)". The record is from RNAcentral. Lineage: Eukaryota; Viridiplantae; Streptophyta; Magnoliopsida; Zingiberales; Musaceae.